This 61203-nucleotide long non-coding RNA is filed under the name Ananas comosus (pineapple). RNAcentral's name for it is "long non-coding RNA (ACOM_LNC002937)". The record is from RNAcentral. Lineage: Eukaryota; Viridiplantae; Streptophyta; Magnoliopsida; Poales; Bromeliaceae.
CUCUUCAUGAUGACUUGUUGUUGUUGCUGCAGCUGCUGGUGUUCUUGUUAUUGUUGUUGUUGUUGUUAUUAUUAUUGUUAUUGGGGUCGCGGGGUUGGAGGUGGGUGGAGUCUGAAUGUCUCCCCGCCCCUUCCUGAAAGCCGAAACUUAGAAAACUUCGCUUUGCUGGGUUGACUAAGCCUUCAUUCUUGGUUCUGGUUAUAUAUAUCUAUAUAUAUAUAGAUAUAGAUAUAGAUAUAUAGAAACAGCUUGUAUUUGGGGGACAAAAAGGACAAAACAAACAGCAAUGAAACCAAAUGAGGCGUUAAGUUUACAGUAGUAGUUGCAUGGCAUGGUAAUUUGGAAGGCUCUGCUUUUCCGCAAGCAAUCAUUUUUCCAUGUCUUUUCUUUUUUAUACUUGGUGAAAUGGUUGAGAACAAACUGAUUGAAGCUUUUGGUUGUCUCUUGCGAUGUCAUCAACCACAAUGCUGCCACAUUACUGCUAUAUUAAUGAGACAUCACCAUUCACUUAACCAAAUUGGCCUGUGAGACUUGAUUGCAACAAUCAAGAAAGUAUGAGCUAGAAAUUGCGGCUAUUAUUGUUUGGGGACCAAAGUGUCACCUGCCUCAUAGUUUGAGGACCAAAAGUGUAAUUUAGCUUUAUUUUAUCUAUCAACCCUUGGAACAGGCAUUAAUUUUCCUAUCUCAGCACUCUGUUGGAAGGUCUGCUGUUUUGCAGGCAACCUUGUUCUGUCAUUUGUGAUGCCUCUUGAUGUGAACGAAUGGCAGGUCGGAGCCUCUCUGUCCUUCUACUUUCUUUUCACUGUUGAUAUUUCUCAUGCUGACCGUCCAUAUGUCCUCAAUCCUCUUGCUGACUGUAUGCUUCAACCGGAAGGCCCUUACUGUUUCAUGCAAUAUUAAGGAAGUGUUUUUCCUUCGUUGUACUUGUCAAAGGAGGCUGUGAUGAUUGCCACUUGGGAAUGCACCUCAACUUCUUUAAUCCUUGCUUUGGAUUCUCGGCGGAGUGCAGAAGCUGACCAAAAUACUAGGUAUAAGAGAGUCAACUCAAACCUGAGACCUUGGUUGGGUUUUGACAGUUCGGGUGGGAUUUGAAUCUUUUUUUUUUUUUUAAUUUUAUAUUUUAGUCCUUUUACACCCCUUGAGAGGCCUUUACGUGGUUCAUUUGUGGGAUAGACGGCAUCUCAGUGGAUGGCUUUUGGCUGACAUGAUCACCUGGUGUAGGCUAUAAUUUUUCCUUUCUCAGCAGCUCAUAUAACCAACAUUAAGUACCUGUAGCAGGACUUAAAUUGGAAGGUCUACUGUCUUGGAUGCAACAUUUUGCUGUCGUGUCUUUAAGGUGCAGAAGAUUGCAAGAUCCCUUGCGAGAUGAUUAAGUGGCAAAUCUGAGCCUCCAUUUUCUUCUCCUACUUUCUUUUUAGCUAUUAGGAUUCGGUGGUACAUUAUUUAUUUUUCCCAUUUUUUCUUUUCCUCCUCUGGCCUUCUUACUGCAUGUAGAACCUAGGUGGGUUGUUUUCACAUAUUCCUUAUCUACUUCCUGAAAUGUGACACUCUACUUCAUGCUGGUUGAUGCUAAAUCAUUUAUCCUGUAUGUCUUCAGAUUUAGGCAACUUGUUAGUCUUUUAGAUUUUGAAAAGAACUAAAAACAGAUAAAGAUACGGAUGUUUGGCAUGUAUAUCUGUAUAUUUGUAUGCUGAUUCAAAUGUGGGUAUCCAACAUACUUGUAUAUCUACUUUUCCAUUUCUCUUCUUGAUGCCUUGUUGUUGUUGCUGCUGCUGCUGUUGUUAUUCUUGUUAUUAUUAUUACUGUUGUUAUUGUUAUUGUGGUCGCAAUGGUGGUGGUAGAGGUGGGUGGAGUAUCGCCUCUCCGUGUCACGCCCCGAAACCGCUAUCAAUUUGGUCCGGCUCGGGCGCGUCGAACAGACGCCGAACGGACAGAACCUCCCCUCCAUUCUAGGCUCAACAACAAGAUCAUGUACGUUUUUGUCGCCCAGGAUGACAUACAACAUACAUGAACAGUACGAAGCACCGCAAGUGCUACACAAUUAAGAGCAAGACACAAGUAAUAAAAUGAGUGGUAUAAAGAGAGUAACAUCUAGCUAUUACAUCCACAAGGCAUUCAACAUUUAGAUCCUUGAUUAUAUUUACGUCUCCAAAAUGAAUAUUCAUGAUAAUCUCCAAAAUACCCUAGCAAUCUCCCAAAAUACAUCAUAUGUCACGGGGUGCACGAGGGUACACUAAUGCAAGUGGAAGCUGCUAACUAUACCUAGGGCGCGAUGCUCUUACCACGAUCCUCUGCCGGUGCUCUCUCGCUAGGCCCUGCAACAAAGUGGGGUGAGAACUAUAUAAAUAUAGUUCCCAGUGGGUUCGGCCGCCGACUCCGCCGAUCUUCCCACUAGGUCUAAGCAGGCAUAAGCAGAUAGAUAUCUGUAACUGUAAUUGAUGCAUAUAGAAGGAAUUGCAAGAUUCUACUAUGCCUGGAGAACAAGAGUAAAUCACAUAGCCAUGUAAUCUCUAACAUGCUAUAAUAACUCUAUCAAGUAUACAUGCAAUUCUACUAUGCCCAGCAUGCUCAACAUACUCAAUAUGCUUACUAUGCUCAAUAUGCAUAAUUCUCUUGAGUUCAUCACCCAAUCAUCUGGCUAGCCCAAAGGCGCGCCCUCGACUCACAACUCAAAUCCGUCUAUGAAGGGGGACUCGAACCACUCGAGGGAUUGUCUGCGGGACCCCACAUAGGCUAUCCCUUGGGACCCCACAUAGGCUAUCUCAAUCGUUUCACGUGCCAAGACUCCGAAACUCGCACUACUUGUGCGGAGCGACCGCCACAAGCGCUGAACAGACUGUGUGAGUAUAAUCAAAUUCGUUUCCAACGAAGGUACCCGGUCACUACGACCUACAUGCACAAGUGUUCUUUUAACACUACGUUCUAAUGCCACUCGUCAAGUUGUUUACUUGGUAUACAUAUGACACUCGUCAAGUAUGUACUUGGUUCACAUGUCACUUGCCAUAAUGCAAUUGUCCCGACUAUACUAGUCAUAUAUCCGCUAUGCAAGAUCAAGUUAUUGUCUAACUUAUCUCUAUAGGGUUCUAUGUCACAAACUCAUUCUCAUGCACCCUAAGUUCACAUGCCAAGCCUACUAUGUCGCAAUACAAGGGAGCAUGCAAGAAUAGUAAAAGUAACAUCUAAAUACCCUAACAUGCAUGAUACUAUAUAUGUAGUAUGUUCAACAUAGAAAUACUUAGACAUAGGGAGAAGCCCAGUUGCUUCGGGAUGACACCCCCCACCUCUUGGUGAUGUCCUGAAGUUACGAUUCCGUUUCCAAGAUUUUUGGAAGCUUUCGCCGCAAGUUGCGGCAAUCUGUACCCUAACGGCUUCGUUCUUUAAUAUCUUCGCGUACGCUCGUCGUAUCGCCGAACCGAUUUCGCCAACGCGUCAGAAAAUCUAGCAAUUAGGUUUAUACAUGAUCAAUUUAGAUCAAAACCUCACAUAUCGAAAAAUUCUAUUUUUGAGCCCUAACAUGCAAUUACCCCCAAAUAAUCCAAAUUAAAUGGAGCAACAUGCUAAGAAUGCUCAUUAGAGGCUACUAGAAUACUUAAAGUUAAGGAUUAAGCCAAAUCCCAAAAGUUUACCAAAAUGUGAACGCCGAGACGGAAGCACGCCGCUCCAACGGGCGCACGAAAGCUCGAUCCGUCGCUCCCGACGCGUUCGCAAGCUCGUUCUCCGCCAACGCCGCGAAUUUGGGCGAAAGAUCUAGAGAGAUGAGAGAGUUAUUUAGAGAGAGAAAGUGAGGAUUUCUCUCACUACCACCAUGAACAUGUGCUUGUGGGGGUGGUGCUUGGCUGUGAAGAAGAAGCCAAGUCACUAGAAGCUUCUACUUAUAUAGUCAACACCCCAAUAUAGUCAACACCCCAAUAGUAGCAUACACUAUUCACUUCAGGCAGUUCGAAAUCUGAUAUCUUUCGCCGGAGCCCUCUGAAUAUCCGUUUGAGCUCAAAUUUGACAGUCAUGUUCGGAUUUGCUUAACUUAACGAAAGAAAUUUUAAUCUUUCAGUUUCGACCUCGUUUGGUCACCGAAAGCCGUACCGAACUGUAAUCUUUAUCAGAUCACUAUCGGAUUUUAUUUUUCACCUUCCGGAUGUCAGAAUGAUAUGAAACUUUAAAUCUAGCCUCAUAAAAAUAAUUUUGGCUUAUCCUCCAGUUUUCAGAAUUUUCUGACACUGCAUUUUCUGCUAAUUUAUCUGCCCCGUUUCACACAGAAAAUUCUAAAUCUUCUGUUUUCGCUCUGAUUUCAACACGGGUCAUUCCAGACUUAUAUUUUAUGUCUAUAAGUCCAAUAAAAUAGUAUCUCACACUAUUUUUAUUUAUAUUUAUUUUUAUAUUAAAAUUUCAGCAUAUUACAUCCCACCGUAACUUCAUAAUUUAAGAAGUUCGGUACCUUACAAUCCGCCCCUUCCUGAUGGGGGAAACCCACAAAAAUUUGCUUUUCGGGUUGACCAAGCCUUCAUUCUUGGUUCUGGUUCUAUAUAUAUAUAUAUAUACAUACAAACUGUUUGUAUAUAGAGGAAAAAAGAAAAAGAAAAAAGCAACAAAACCAAAUGAAGCCUUAUUAAGGUUUCAGUGGUAGGUGCAUGGCAUGGCAAUUUUGGAAGGCUCCGCUUUUCUGCGAGCAACCAGUUGUCCAUGUGUUGCCUUGCUUAGAUUUGCCGAAAUGGCUGAGAACAAACAAAUUGAAGCUUUCGAUGGGUCUCUUGGUUGUCAUCAACCACAAUACUGCUGCAUUACUGCUACUUUAGUGAGACCACCAUUUACUCAACAAAAUUGGCCUAUGAGACGAUUGCUACAAUCAAGAAAUUUUCGAGCCAGAAACUGCAAGUAUUAUAGUUUUGAGGACCAAAGUGUCAUCUGGAUCAUAGUUUGAGCACCAAAGUGCAAUUUAACCUUAUUUUAUCAAACGAACCAAGGAACAGGCAAUAAUUGUCCAUCUCACCUGCCUGUGGCAGUACUCAAUUGGAACUCAAUUGGAAGGUCUGUUGUUUUGCAGGCAACCUUGUUCCAUCAUUUAUCUUAAAGGUGCAUAAGAAUACACGAUGCCUCUUGAUAUGAUUGAAUGACAGGUCAGAGCCAACUUCUUUCAUACUCUCUUUUGUUAUACUUGUCAAAGGAGGCCGUGAUGAUUGCCACUGGGGAAUGCACCUCAGCUUCUUUAGUCCUUGCUUUUGAUUUUUCGUUGGAGUGCAGAAGCUGACCAAAAUACUAGGUAUAAGAGAGUCAACUCAAACCUGAGACCUUGGUUGGGUUUUGACAGUUCAGGUGGGAUUUGAAUCUGGUUUUUUUUGGUUAUUUUGGUUCUUUUACACCCCUUGAGACGCCUUUGCAUGGUUCAUUUGUUGGAUAGACAGCAUCUCAGUGGAUGGCUUUUGGCUGACAUGAUCACCUGGUGCAGGCUAUAAUUUUUCCUUUCUCAGCAGCUCAUAUGUGACCAACAUUAGGUACCUGUAGCAGGACUUAAAUUGGAAGGUCCACUGUCUUGGAUGCAACCUUUUGCUGUCGUGUCUUUAAGGUGCAGAAAAUUACAAGAUCCCUUGCGAGAUGAUUAAGCGGCAUAUCUGAGCCUCCGUUUUCUUCUCCUACUUUCUUUUUAGCUAUUAGGAUUUGGUGCUACAUUCUUUAUUUUUCCUUUUUUUUCUUUUCCUCCUCUGACCUUCUUACUGCAUGUAGAACCUAGGUGGGUUGUUUUCAAAUAUUCCUUAUCUACUUCCUGAAACAUGACACCAUACUUCAUGCUGGUUGAUGCUAAAUCAUUUAUCCUGUAUGUCUUCAGAUUUGAGGCAACGUGUUAGUCUUUCAGAUUUUGAAAAGAACUAAAAACGGAAUAAAGAUUCGGAUGUUUGGCAUAUAUAUCUGUAUACUUGUAUGCUGAUUCAAAUGUGGGUAUCCAACAUACAUGUGUAUCUACUUUUCCAUCUCUCUUCUUGAUGCCUUGUUGUUGAUGCUGCUGCUGCUGUUGUUAUUAUUAUUAUUAUUUUUGUUAUUAUUAUGGUCGCAGUGGUGGUGGUGGAGGUGGGUGGAGUCUAUCGUCUCUCCACCCCUUCCUAGGGAACCCACGAAACUUUUCUUUUCGGGGUUGACCAAGCCUUCAUUCUUGGUUCUGGUUAUAUACAUACAUACAAACAUUUUGUAUAUAGAGGAAAAAAGAAAAAGAAAGGAAAAAAAAAGCAACAAUAACAACGAUACCAAAUGAAGCCUUAAGGUUUCAGUAGUAGGUGCAUGGCAUGGUUAUUUUGGAAGGUUCUGCUUUUCUGAGAGCAACCAAUUUUCCAUGUGUUGUCUUGCUUAGACUUGCCGAAAUGGCUGAGAACAAACAAAUUGAAGCUUUCGCUGGGUAUCUUGGGAUGUCAUCAACCAUAAUACUGCUAUGGUAGUGAGACAUCACCAUUUACUCGACCAAAUUGGCCUGCGAGACGAUUGCAACAAUCAAGAAAGUUCAAGCCAGAAAUUGCCAGUAUUAUAUUUUUGAGGACCAAAUUGUCAUCUGCCUCAUAGUUUGAGCACCAAAAGUGUAAUUUAGCCUUAUUUUGUCUAACAAACCACAGACACAAAACAGGCAAUAAUUUUCCUAUUUCACCUAUGUAAUACACUGGAUCUUAGCAAAUUGCAAGAUUCGAGUGUUUGAUCUGUGUGUGGAGCCUUUCCACAGUUUUUGGAGGGUCGUUGAUAGUGUUCCGACCCCUGGCACGCACCCCGAGGAUGUUGGUUUGAGACUUGGCACCAAAAUUUCAAAAUUGAAAUUUUUAGUCAGCUCUCGGAUAGCCUGCAGCAGAGCUUGUACCGGAACAAGAUUGGUCUUGUACCGGUACAAGGUUGAUGGUUGUACCGGUACAGCCAUCGGGCUUGUACCGGUACAGAGCCGCAGACUCCGCAACCCGAGCCUCGGGUUUGCAUUUUCGCAGGGCUUGUACCGGUACAAGGGCCCGUGUACCGGUACAAGGUGGCUGAUUGUGUGCAGUUUGAUACUGCAGGGGGUUUUUCGCGAUUGUAGCCUAUCUAUAUCAGCCCCCACGCCUUUAGGGACUCUCCCUGAGCUGAGACCAGCAGGAGUUGAGGUAGGAGGAACUCUCUUCUUUCCUUUGCAUUUUUACUCCUUUUGCUUGGUUUUUAUUGGAUUUUCUCUCCUCUAUUUGCAUCUUGGUGGCUUCUCCACCAUUGUUGAUGGCUUAAAGCUUGGAGAGGAGCUAGUGGCCGCGGAGAUCUUCAACGUCACUUGGAUUGGAGCUAAGUUUGGAACUUCUUGAGAGGUCAGAGACUUGAUUUCUCCCUUUGAUCCUUGAUUUGAGGUUUUUGUGAGAUCAAACCCUAGAAAUGAAAAUUUAGGGUUUAUUUGGGCAUUUUCGUUUUAGGGCUUUUGAGGCUCAAUCUCUUGGAUUAGAGCCUUCCUCUAGGGUAGAUUGGAGGGGUUCUAACUCUCAUUUGGAGCUUGAGAGGAGAUCUUUGCAUUUGAGGUGAGUUUUCCUCACCUAUGCUUGCAUAGCUUAUAGAUUGAGCUUAGCAUCAUUCGUUUCAUUUAGGUGACACUUGUUUUCAUACCUCUAGGAUACUAGGAGGUUAGAGGACACCUUCGUCGGAGCAAACGAAGGGCUUCGUUUACCGUUGGUGGUUUUGACUUCAUGAAAACGGGGCGAAAUGGCCCCUAUGCCUCCUAAACUCUUCGUAAAGUAUUUUUAAAUUCAUUUCUAUGCUAAAUAGAAUUUAUAUGAAUUUUUGAGCACUUAAAAUGCAUGCCUUGUGUAUUAUGAAGAAUUUCACUAUAUAGUAGAGCUAUAUGAGUAGAAUGCAUGCAUACGGGAAAAGUGUUUAUUUUGCAAGUGGAAAAUACAUCUCUUAUGAGGAGUAUGACUUGGGACAUGUACUUUGGAACAUAGUUGCCAUGCUUGGACAUAGAGAACAAGAGUGUCAUCAAGGGGCACUUGAAACUAGUAAACUAUUAAAUUGCAAUAUAGAGACAUAUUGAUAGGCCACUACAUAUCUGCUAUAUUCCAUGUUAGAGACAUGAUGACAUAGAGAUAGGCCACUGAGAUACUUGAUAUAUAUUCCAUGUUGNUUUAGCCUUAUUUUGUCUAACAAACCACAGAACAGGCAAUAAUUUUCCUAUUUCACCUACCUGUGGCAGCACUCAAUUGGAACUCAAUUGGAUGGUCUGCUGUUUUGCAGGCAACCUUGUUCCAUCAUUUAUCUUAAAGGUGCAUAAGAAUACAUGAUGCCUGGAUAUGAUCGGAUGGCAGGUCAGAGCCUCUCUUUCCUUGUGCUUUCCUUUCAGCUAUUAAUAUUUCUCAUGCUGACUGUUCAUAUGUCCUCAUUCUGACCGUAUACUUCAAUCAGACCGGCGCUUAAUGUUUCAUUCAAUCUUAAGGAAGUGUUUCUCCUUCAUUUUACUUGUCAAAGGAGGCUGUGAUGAUUGCCAGUUGGGAAUGCACCUCAACUUCUUUUAUCCUCUCUAUUGAUUCUCGGUGGUGUAAAAGCUGAUCGAAAUACGGGAUAUAGGAGGCAAUAUAGUUAGCUCAAUCCUUAGAUCUUGGUUGUGUUUUGAUAAUUCGGGUGGGAUUUGAAUCCAGUUUGUUGGUUAGUUUUGUCAUUUUGCUUCCCUUGAGAGCCUUUCGCUUCGUUAAUUCGUGGGAUAGACAGCAUCUCAGUGGGUGGCUUUUGGCUGACAUGAUUCACCGGGUGCAGGCAAUAAUUAUUCCUUUCUCAGCAGCUCAUCAGGCCAACAGUAGCUCCUGUAGCAGUAGUUAAAUUGGAAGGUCUGCUGUCUUGCAGGCAACCUUAUGCUGUUCAUAUCUUUAAGGUGCAUAAGAUUACGAGAUCCCGAUCCCUCAUGAGGUGAUUGAAUGGCAAAUCCGAGCCUCCAUUUUAUUCUCCUAGUUCCUUCUUAGUUAUUAAGAUUUAGUGGUACAGUAAUUUUUUUGUAGCUAUUAAUAUUUAAUGGUACACAAUUUUUCUGUUUUAUCUUUAAUUUCUCAUCCUCUGGCUUUCUUACUGCAUGUAGAAUCUAGGAUGGGUUGUUUCAAACAUUCAUUAUCAAUCCCCUGAAACCCUACUUCGUGCUGGUAGAUGAUGACUAGAUAGAAGUUUGGGGGGUCUAUUUCAAAAUGGUCUAUAGUUGAGGGGAUCUUUAUCCUAUUUAUCCUCUCAAUAUAUCUGAUGGUGAAAAGGUGUUGAUAGUCCCUGUCGUGUCCCAAUACUGUCCCAAUAUUGUGACUUAGUCCUUGAACCUUUUCAAUAACACUCCUCUCUUUCAUCUUUCUUAUAUUCUUGGAAUUUCAUCUCUCCCAUCUCUUUGGUUCAUAUGUUGCAGGCAAAAUCUCUCAUUAGAACUCUGCAUUGUAAUUUAAUUACUAGAGAGGAUUGGCAGGCGCGUGAUCAGUAAUUAGAGGCAGCUCUGGAUGGUCUGCUGUUCUGCAGGCAACCUAGCUUGUACCCAUUUAUCCGGUCAUGGCUGGGGUGGAGGAGGUGGUGGUAGUGAUAAGGAUUGGAUGUAUGUGGGUUCAUAUGAUCCUCUUCUCUGAUUAGGGUAUCACCAUUGCUAUCUUCGCGGCACUCACUUAUUCUCUUGAUCAAAGUUCCUGUAAAGGAUAUCCUUCGUCAUUUACUUCUAUUUCGCAAUUCCUGUUCCUUGAUGUGUUUCGGUAUUUGUGGAAGUUUCUGUUGAUCAUCUUCAAGAGAUGCAGAAUAACCACUUUUGUGGAGUAAAGCUUCUCUCCGCGGUCUUCUGAGAUGUAUACCCAUGAAAUUUUGUGCCUCAGGGUUGAUGAAUGGCUAAAAAUCAAGCUUUUUGAUUUUGAUUGUGCAUUCUUCAUAUGGGUUUAAUUGGUCAGUUAGCUUGGUCCAUUGACACCUCUAAUCUGAGCCAUGCUUCAUUAAUUCAUGGGAUGGAUGACAUUGCCGUUGGUGGUGCAUGUCUGAUCUUGUGCACCGGGUACAGGCCAUAAUUUCUCCUAUCUCUGCAGUCCAUAAGGUCGGCGUUUUGGGGUUCACAUAGCAAUGCUCAAUUGAAAGGUCUGCAUUCUUGCAGGCAACCUUACAAAGUCAUUUGUCUUUAAGGUGCGUAAGACUACAUGAUGCCUCAUGAUAUGAUUGAAUGGCAGAUCUGAGCCUCCCUUUUCUUCUUGUUUCUUUUCAGCUAUUAGGAUUUAUUGUUGUCAUUUUCUUCUUCUCUGUGUUUGUUUCUGCAUGGAGAAGCUAGAUCAUCAAUUCCUAUUCCCUGUACUUUUCAGUGGUUGAUGAUCAGAUUUGAGUUGGUGACUUGGUCGGCUUAUUUCAAGAUGGCCUGUAGUUGAGGGGUCUUCAUACAUUUUACCUUUUUAAUAUGGGUUGGAAUAAGAAUCAGAUAUUAUUUUUCAUCCGAGGCUGGUGAUAUCGGUGACUUUAUCUGAGGAAUAAGAGCUAUUUAUAGUCCCUGUACUAUUCCGAUAUUGUAAUUUGGUCCAAACUACAUCUCCACAACCUUCACUUCGGCACAGGUGUAGUUUCCUAUUAGACCUCUGCAGUGUAAUUCAACCACUACAGAGGUUCCAAGUGUGAUCUAGCAAUGGUGAGGCAGCUAUGGAUGGUCUGCCUUUCCGCAGGCAACCUAGCUGGACCCCUUAAAUCUAAUCAUGAUCUGCCAUGAAGAUAGCAUGCCAGUGUAGCUUCAUCUUUAAGACUCUUCCUCUGUUGAAAGUUUGGAGUGCCAUCUUCGUGGUACAUUUGUUCUCUUGAUCCUGUUAAGAAUACUAGUCCCAUAUUCGAUACUUAAGCUUUUUGGAUUGGUCCGAGACUUUUGGCAUAUCCAACUUCUAGCGAGGGAUAUUUUUAUCUUUUUUUUUUUUUUCAAUUAUUCCAUCUGUCCUUCCUGAUGCCUUUGAUUAUUUGGAGAAGGCGGUAAUGAUUUCUAGCAUGUUGCACAUGAGCUUUCUUCCAAAAUGUUAUGAUUAUUCUAUCCCAGGCUGUAGAAUAUUGAUUUUGCCAAUUGGACGUAGUGGAGGAUGCCGGUCAGCGCGUGUGCGGAGCCUAAAUGAGGUGAAAACGUUUUGGCGCGAAAUGGACGCAAAAACGAAUGAAUAGGGUCAAUCUCUUAUUAUGGAGGACCAAAUCGCAAAUAGACAAAGUUUCGGGCUAAGUUGCAAAAAGGGCAACUUAGUGGAAUUCCACUAAGAGCUCUUAACCUUAUUUUACUGUUCUUUCACUAUUCUGGCCUCCAGUAGACCUAAUGGGAAGAUCGUGGUUAUCGUCGACCGUAUCCACUGGGAACUACUGUUUAGUAGUUCUCACAUCCUUUUGUGGUUUACUUUUGAGGGGUAGGUAUACUGACGGCUGAUCGAGGUGAGGGGGAUCGCGCAGUAGAUACCAUCUCCUACCAGCAUGCCUAGACAUGAGUGGACUACUAGAUAGAGUGCUACUCUGUACUACAUGCAUGUACUGGUGAGGGCCAGGGCUUUUUUUCUUGUACUUUUCUUUUGGGGUUGAGUUUUAUUUGAUAUAGUACAUGAUGUACAGUAGUUUAGUUUGUAGAUAGCGCUCUGAUACUUGUCGUUUGCUUAUUCUGUACUUCAUGUUGAUUCCUGUGUUGUGGAAACUUCUCUAGUGUGACCUCUUGGAAUCCUUUGUCCUGUUCAGUUAUGUUGACGUUUCGUUCAGGCAGGAAAAAACUCUGUUCGUUCGGCGAGUCUGUUGACGUCCCCAUAGGCUUCCGCUGUGGACUUGGGGCGUGACACAGGCUUCCUGAGAUUCAAAGUUUGAAACCCUUGAAAUACUGCUUUAGGUUUCAAAUCUUGGAAGGCUCUGCUUUUCCAGCAGGCAACCAGUUUUGCAUUCAGGGUUCAACCCGUUUUUUCGAAAUUUUUUUUUUUUUUCCCAUAUUAUAUCAUUUCUGACAAAAAGGUUGUAUCCAGUAUUUGAUUUGUGUCCCCAGCUAAGCACUCAUGGUUUCCAACACUGCUCUCCGUUGAAUGUUUGUAUUUGAAUUUGUACUUGGAGAAGUAUGGAAAUAGUCAGUUGCUAUCUGAACAAUAUCCGACCCAUUUUCAUCCCUAGUUAUGUGACAGGUAGUGAUCCUAGUAGAGUCUAGAGACACUGAAGAAGAGAUAUAGUCGUUUCUCACCCUCUAUCAGCGUCUAGAGAGUCUAGAGAGUAAGAGGGAAUCGUUAUCCUGAAAUUUCUUUCCUAAUGUCCAUAUCAGUGUCUCUUUACGUUUUAAUCUUUCUGCUGUGGAAAUCUUAUUUUAGAUUGCUUUACUUCGCUUUCUCGUAUGUCCUGCAUCUAGGUAAUCUUCUUAAUCUAUGUUGUUAGAGCCUUCUUGACUGUCUCUUCUCUCUCUACUUGGGUUCAUCCAUUAACCAGAUAGAAUUGUCCUCUUCUUUUUCUGCAGAAUGUGUUUACCUAAACUAUGAACAAAUGAUAUACAUUUUUUUGUUUUUUCAAUUGACCUCUGAAUAUUGACUUGGUUUCUUUGAUUAAUUAGUUAGUUCACUGCAGUCGGCUUUUUUUUUUUUUUUUUUUUUUUUUUUUUUUUUUUUGGUUUUUGGUUUAUACAUUCUGUUUCCAGCAUAUUUUUUAUAUUAAUGGCUUUACUGUUUACUGUUUUCUGAAUUAGUAUUUUGCAGUUGACAUUUCUCUCGUAUUCCCGUUUCUUUUUAUUAUUUUUGUUAUUAUUGUACCGUUUUGUGUUCUUUCAACAUGCUUGUACAUCUUUCUUCUCUUAUUCUUCUAAUCCCUAGCUACCAUUUUACCAUUGAACCCUGAAUUCUAAACCCUUGGGACAUUGUUUGGUUCAUAAGUGGAGUGAGAAUGGAAAAUAGAAUGACAAACCAUCAACGAAUGUUUGAUUCAUUAUUGACCAAAAUAGUUGUAUAAUUAGGAGGUUCACUUAGAGAGCGGGGGUGUACCGAGUUAUUUAAUAAAAUAUAGUAGAGGACCUACUCGGCAAAAAUAAUAGUUUACGCAGUUAUUUGCAAAAUAACUAAAUUUUAAUUUUUAGGAUGUCUCUGAACAUUUUUUUUUCCUUUAUGAUUUUUUUUUUUUGGCAAUGUUAACUCUACAACGCACCCGUUUUAGACUGUAGAUCUUAUAACUAGAUUAUCCAAAAAGAUAAUCAACUUUGUGCCCUUAAAAAAGAGCUAAUUUCCUCUGUAGCUUUAAAAAAUUAAUAAUUUUUCAUUUACCUUUUAUUUCGAAAAUAUACUCCCGAAAAGAAAAAUUUACAUGCUCCUUUAAAUAUUUGAAAGAAGGAUCAGGUAAAUAUGAAAUUAAUUUUGUAUUGAGGCGUAUAUGAGUAGUGAUAUUAAUGAACACUAAUGUGAUAAUUUUUGUUGAAUUAAUGUUAAAAGUUAAUUAAAAUAAAUAUUACAGAAAAGAAGUUUAGGAGAAAAACCAAAAAUAGGAAAUUACUCCAAAAAUCUCAAAGAAGGAAAAGGAAGGUAAGGAUGUUGUUUCAAAAUAGCUAUUAUUGAGGAGUCUCGACGCUUUUUUGUAUUUGAAAUCAAUGAUUUAAGUGUCUUGGCACGGGAUCGUGCGGAAAUUUGCCGGCACGAUAUGUGCCGAGCCGUGCCGAUGCGUGUCGGUCAAAAAAAUUCUUGCAUGCCGACACAUGGCAACAUGAAAUAUUUAUUUUCUUUAGUAACAAAAUAUUUUAACUAUUUAUUAUAUUUUUUUAUCACAUCUUUUGAACUUUAUUGAGGAAAUUAUUUACUAAUUUAAAGAAUAUAGGGUUUUUAGCUGUGCCAUCGGCACGGGAUCUGUAUCGUGCCGGUAUCUUGUUGGUGCGAUAUGGCACGGUGGAAACGGCCCGUGCCGACGGGUACUUAAAAUCUAGUUCGAAAUGCUGAGUGCACAUGCGGUUGUUACAAAUUAUUUAUAAUUACAAUGUUUUCCACUAUAUCUAAUUAAACAAAUUAUCUAUAUCUAUAUCUCUAUACUUAUACAUUAUUUUCCAUAUAGUCUUGCCACGUAGCGGUCCCUUCUUUAUCUUACCUUCUCCUCUCUUCUCUAAUCACAAUUGUUUCAGCCGCACAAAACCUUUGAUCUUCCAAUCAAUGAACGAUCUUAAACCCACACUCUUCGUUUCCCCACUAAGGAGUUACUAACGCAUUAUUAACUUUAAUAAUUAAUAAUUACGAUGAUCCGCACAAUUAGCACCACUAAAACCCCAUCAUCAUCAUCUCCUCUUUCUCGGAAUCAAAUAUCACACUCUAACAAUGUCCUAUGUUAUAAACCAACUUUUCUAUCUAUUAUUCUUAUUAUUAUUCUCGAACGCGAGGACGAACCCGUCAACGCCAUUCGGGUCGAGCCAUGAUUGUUCAGGCACAUUGUUUGGGUUCAGCGUAUGCUUGGAGUUAGUGGAGGGCGGGGCGAACGGGUCCAAAUCGGGGUUGCUGCUCUGGGUUCGGUCACGUGCUGAGUCGGAGUGUCACGUGCCUCUGUGAGGCCAUACGAGAUAGGCGUACCCGUGAACGUCACCAAAGCUCUCGCUUUGCCCUUGCUUUGUGGGCUCUCCUACACGCCAAUUGUCCUCUGUUACAAAACUAAGAGGUGUAUUUUUUUUUUAUGGUCCAAUUUCACCUGUACAAAUUGCUUUCAUAAGAAAAAAUAAGUAAAAUAAAAUUUUUUUGUACUCUUUUUUUCCCUUUUUUUGGCGCAUAAGAAUGGUUUAUAUUUUGUAAUUUUUUUAAUUUUUUUUAUCUUUUUGUUUUUAAAUUGUAUGUGUACUGAAAUUAGGGUUUUGUGGAUUGUAGAGCAGCAAAGAUAGAUUUGGAGUCAACGAGAGAAAAGAAGUGGAAUCAACGUGGCUGUGACGAAAAGGAGCUCGACAUUGAUAAUGGCGACAAAGGUAAUGUGGAGAUGGGGAUUCGUCUUCCCGAUGUCGGUAGUGAAAUCAAGAUACGUAUGGAGUAAUAAUUCUAUUGCUGCUUCUUUCAUUACUAUUUUUUAUAACUUAUUUAAUGAAAUUAUAAAUUUUGUUACAUUUGUACGUAUAUCUGUUUCAUCUCUUUUAUUUGUAUAUAUGUUAAUAUAUAUUAUUUUUAUUUAUUAAUGUCUUAUGACAAUUCAAAAAAUUUAAAAUUUUUACUUUAUGAAUUUUUUGUCUUUCUAUAGCAUCAAUCCGCCGCAAUGCACGGAUAAUUUCACUAGUAUAUACUUAUAACUGCGGCAUGAGUUGUAAAUCUUAUAUUUCACGAUUUAAAGGCUAAUUGUUACACACUAGUUAUAUCGACAUAAUUUGAUAUAGCUAAUAUGCAGCAUGUAACUCUUAUAAUGAGAUGUAAAAUGUAUACCCAGCUUUUGAGUUUACAGAUUUGUUUGUUAAUUCGCGAAUUAUUCACGAAUUAUUAAAAAUUCAAAUUAAACGGUCCGUUUACGAAUUUUUUUCAAAAAAAAAAAUUAUUAGCGAAUUUUUUGGCCAGCCGAAUAAUUCGCAAAUUAUUUUCGAAUUAUUGAAAAUUUAAAUAAAAAACUUAUAAUUUUUAUGUUUAAAUAUAGAUUAUCUUAUAUUUUAUAUAAAUAUGAGUUCUCUGUUCAUUCUCCCCCCCAAAAAAAAUAUUUAUAUAUAUUUUAUAAUUAAUAAUGGGCUAUUUUAAUCUAUUUCUUGCUUGAUUGUUUAUAUACCAUAGUGUAUAAUAUAAUUCUCUAUAGUUUUUUUUUUUAUUUAAUCUACUUUAUUUUGUAGCUUUUUAUUCUUAGAAUUGUAAAUGUUUACAAUAGUAGUAUAAAUCUAGAAAAAAAAUUGAAGUUUAAUAGGCAAAUUUUUUAUCCCGAAUUUUUAAUUGAUGAACGUAUAAUUUUCGUAUAAAUCACGUAUCCGAAUAAUUACCAAAUCCAUUUUUUAAGUCGAAUUUUUUAACAAAUUAAAAAAAUUAAAAAACGAAUUUUAUACGUAUUAUAACCGUACCGAAUUUUUUCCGAAUCCGAAUUAACUAACUAUGGUUUAAAGGUAGCAAUGCUCUUUUCAUACAUCCUACUUUCGUUUGAUUUAGCCCAUUUUCUAGUAAUACAAUAAAUCCUUCUAGAAAAUAACUUGGAACUAUAUUACAUUUUAAGAGAGUCUGAGACUUAUGCUGGGUUUAUUCCGAAAAAGUUAAAUUGGAGGUUUGGGUUUCAAAACUAUUGAACCUUCUUUUCAAAACAACUUAGAAUAUUUUAGGUAAAGAUAAUACUCUUGUUUUUGAAUUUACAAUAUCAUGUUUUCAUUCUUUAGAAUUUUUUUUUUCAUCGGUCAACUUUGUUUAUUUAAUGUACCCAAAAAUAAUCUUUGAAAAAUAUAAAAUAUGGUAUGUCAUAUUUGACAGUUGUUGACAUGAACGCAUUCUUAAUUGAAAACGAGUUUAUUUCAGUUCAUUAAAAAUUGCUCAAUCUUACAAUCUUUGUGUUAUUCUAUCAUGAAUUCAACUUUGGAGUUAUUUUAUCAUGAGAUUGUUCUGAUUAACUUUUGCUUUUAUUGUUAUCCAUAUUAAUAUUCACAUUUAUUAAUUUCCUCUAUGAAAGUCUUAGAAAAGAGAAAUUUCGCACUUUCUUUACUCUGAGACAUUUUAUUUAGAUAUUUACAAGCAAAUAUACAUUAAGGGUGUGUUUGGUUCGCAUUAUGAAAGAUAACUAGGAAUAAAAGAUAUCCUAGAAUUUUAUUCCUAUUCAUCCUAUUACUAAGAAUGUGGAAUUCAUGUGUUUGGUUUGCACGGUAAUAUUAAUUAGCCAUAUUAUUUAAUAUUACAAAAAAUAUACAAUUUAUUUAUUUAUUUAUUUAUUUAAUUUUAGAUAAUGUUACCAAAAAUUUCAACAUCUUUUUAGAAAAAAAGAAGAGAGAGUAUAAAUUAGAGAGAGAGCGCAUAAUUAAAAAAAUAGAAAGAAAAAUAUAGUCGAAAUUAGAGGAAGUGAGAGAGUUGAAAUUUUAGAAAAAGAGAGAGAGAGCAAGCUUAGUUUAGAGAGAGAAAAAAAAGUUGAAUUUUAGAGAGAAAAAUAAGUUUAGAGAGAGAUAUAAUGUUAGAGUAUAAAAAAAAAUAAUAUCAAUUAGCCGGCGGAUAGGAAGAAAGAAAGAGAUUAGACAUAUUAUGAUUACCUCAAUCCAUUAAUAAAAGGAUAUCCAUCCUCCUCAAGGGAAUGAGAUUAGUACUUUGGGGUGAAUCUUAUUCCUAAGUGAAUCCAAUAUUACCAACUAGAUUACUUAGUGCGUUUAGCCAAACACUGUCAUAUUUUUUUAUUCCCAUUGGAUUACUAGGAAUCUUUAAAACAUAGCGCGAACCAAACGCACCCUAAGAUUAUUGCACUAACAUUGGGUACAUUAAACUUGAUAGAAUACUUUUCUACUACUUUACUCUUAGAACUAGUUGAAAUCUAAUUGACCAAAUCCUAAUUGUUUUAGAUUGAUGGGCCUGGUUGCAAUUCAAAUAAAUUUGUAGAAUACUUUUGUUUAUUUUAUGUCCUGCUCUGAUGGGAUAUUUACUAGUGAUGUGCAACAAUUUUGGAAUAUCUAACUACAACUAUGGAUUCAGACUGACUUGUGUCCAGUUAUGGGUCAGAACUGUUUUGGGUUUUGAUUUUGUGUCUAACUAUGUAUCAAAACUUAACUGGGUCUUAGCUUUAGAUCUGAUUUUUGAGUCUAAUUAUGGGUCAAAACUAAAUUUGCCUUUGAUUUCUGAUCUACUUAUGGAUCAGAAUAAAUUAUAAUUACAUCUAAUUAAGAUUUGAAUGAUUCUAAUAAACGGCCAGAACUGAAAAAGCACUAGUUAUGAGUCUAAUUAGUUAGAGAUUUUACUUAAUGAGAAUCCUAUUUUGCUAAAACUAAGUUAGUGUUUUUCACCUUCUUUAUUCGAAUAAUAAGAUUAUUCUCUAUGAUUUGAAAGCCUAUAUAUUAGCAAAUUAAACAAAGAAAUAAAAAAUUAUAUAAAACAUUACAUAUAAUAAUAAAAUUCUUUCACAUCAAUAUAUAUUGUUUAAAACAAAUUUCACAUACAAAUAAUAUACUAAAUAUGCAUAUUCCACAAAUUAAAAAAACUAAUUAUUUUCAACUACGUAUGCGCCAAUUGCUAUUGCCAUGCGACUCAAAAGUUCGCGCUUUACUUUUGCAUAGCCGUCCGUUCCCCAAUGACUACCCCAAGAGUUUUUUAUCAAAUAAUAUUUGACGUCGUUUUCUACACCGUAUCCAACUAUAGUCACGGAGUGGCUCCCUCGUUUUUUUUCUCCAACAUGAGGACCCAUAUACACAACCUACAUGGAAAAAAAAAAUAGUCAUUAUCAAAUUAAAAAAAGGUCAUUAUCAAAUAUUAUAUUAUCAAAAGUUAAUUAAAAUUUAUAAGUAUUAGCAUAUAAAAAAUUAUUCAUUAUUAAAUAUUAUAUAUCAAAACUUAAAUUUAUAAAUACUAACAUCUCUCGGUAGAUGAGUAAAGCUGUUAUAUAUGUUUAUGGCAGCAGCAAUAGGUCGUUCUCUCAAAAUUUCUUCGAUUUCUCCCUCAUUAUGUCUUCUUUCCAAUUUGCUCUGAAAAUCUUGAAUCUUCACUCUCUGCUUCUUCUGUAAAAAAUAUUUAAAAUUAUCCAAUAAUUAAUAGAUGUAUUAAUACUAAAUAAGUUUUUUUAGUGUAUAAGUUAACUUACAUCUUCAUUCAUUUGACAAUAUUGGCGUCGUGCAACAUAUGGAUUAUCAGCUUCCAUGGCAAUACCAUAUGUUUUGAUGUACUCUAAACACUUGCUAUGUGUGCACUGUAUACAUCCAACGGCGUCUAUAUGUUGUUCACGGGAAGAUGGAUACAUUUCAUGAUAACAGUUUACUAGCUCUUGUUUUGAUAAUUCAAUGAGUUGACCAUACUUUUUUGCAUAUUCUGCUUCAACUAAAGUGGUGGAAGAAAAGGCAUAGCAACAUUCUUCGUAUAAUUCAUUAAAGAAAAAAAACAUUAGUUAAUAAAACAAUAAUGAAUUGUAUUAAUCUCUACAAAAAAUCAUUCUAUUAAGUAUACUUACGACACUCUCUUUGAUUUCCUACGUCCUCCCGAAUUAUAUUAAUUGGCUUGUCGUAAAUCAAAAGAUGCCUAUCAUAUUAAAACAAAGAUAUGAAAAUGAGAAUUAAGAAAAUAAGUAAUUUCUAUAUAUCAAAUAAAAAGUAUAAUCUAUGAUAAUUUUUGUUAUUUGAUAACUUUUUUAUUGGAAAAUUAGGAUAUUCGCUUAUUUUAACGAACUUAGUUUAUUUUACAAAAUUCAUUUGCAAAUAGCUCGAGGUAAAUUAAUUAAAGAAAAUUUAGUAGAAUUAAAAUUAUUAAAAUAUUAGUUGGUAAAUCAAAACUUAAACUAGAUUAAAACUAAUCCUAUUUUAAAUAGGUUUCAUAUAUAUAUAUAUAUAGCUAACGACUCAAAAUUCUUUUGAGUUAUUACCAUGUUAGUGUGGGUUGCGAGGUGGAGUUAGAAACAGACCCAAUAAAAAUAAUCUUAUCUAUCAAAAAAAUGCACUAUAUAAUUUACAAAGUGCAUGGUUAUGUGGGAGUGAGAUUCUCUUCUCACACUUUCAUUGGAUAAAAAUGUGUGAAAGUACUAUUAUACAUGAGAUUUGCAUUGAUACUUUGGCAGCCAGACUAACUAAAUUUAAAUUAUAUUAAUUACCUAAGGUCUCGUUUGGCAUGCAUUGUUGCUGGUUAUAAGAUUAUCAAGAAAAUGCACUUUGUGAUUUACAAAGUAGUUCAAUGUGGGAGAGAGGUUCUCUUCUCACACUUUUAUUGGAUAAAAAUGUGUGAAGUACUAUUAUACAUGAGAUUUGCAUUGAUACUUUAGUGACAAACUAAUGAAACUUAAAUUAAUUAAUUAAGUAAGGUCUUGUUUGGCAUGAAUUGUUGCUUCUCGUUUGGCAUGCAUUAAUUUGUUGCUAGUUUUUACUUUCUUAAAUAUAUAAAAAUUUUAUGUCAAAAACUAUAAGAUUAAAUGAUGUACUACAUGUAUAUGACUUUUGCAUUGCAAGUUAAACAAAUCAUGAUAAGAAAAGAAAAAUCAUCCUACAGAAAUCAAAUUAAGCAUAUGAAAAUAUAUUGUGUUUGAAAAAAAAAAUUAAAAUAAUAUAAAAUAAAAUCUAAAAUAUUUUACUAUAUGCACCGUCUAAUUGAGUAGCUGAUAAAAUUUAAAGAUAACAAUUUAUCACUACUCUAUAAAAAAAUAAAUAUUUUGAAGAAAAUGUGUAUAAUACUAGCAUUCACGUACGGGAUUUGCAUGGGACCAUGGGUACUUCUCCCACCGUCUAAAUUUGAGUAACUAGAGAUAACUAAAGAAUACACAUGCACGUUAACUACUUAGCUUGAGUUAAUUGAGUGAGCUAUUUUUACGUAUUAGCUAAAUUGGUUCAUGAUUCACUUGUGAGGCCUCUUUGGAGAAAUUGUUGCCUGCAACCAACAUAUAAUGAUGCAUGCAUUAGUGGAAGAAUCUAUGCUUUUAGAUGGAUGAGAUGUAUAAGUUGUGAACCUAACAUAUAUAAGUUGCAUUGCUCAUAAAACCAAGUAAUAAUUUCACAAAAAGUUCAAAAAUUGGUAGUACAAUUAAUGUACCUAAUUUUAAAGUUCAAAUGCGCGCACCAGAAUCUUUUAAAAUUUUGCUCAAUCAUCCAAACUUUAAAAGUUUCUUAUUUGUCAUCCAGAACUUUCAAUUCUUUAACAUUUAACUACUUACUUUAUACUUUGUUAAUUUAAACUGACUGACAAUACCUAAAUGGUCAAGAAACAAUAAACAACACAUGCCAAAGCUAUAGAAAGGAAUUUUUUUUUUUUUUUUUUCCAAUGAUGGAAUUUAGUUUUACAGUAAAAAACAUAUUUUUUAUUAUUAACUAUUAAAAAUUAUAGUGAUAUUCUCAGCAAAAGAAAUAUUAAUGAAGUGUGUUUUUUUUUUUUAUUAUUUCUUGAUCAUUUGGCUAAUUAAUAUUAUAGAAACCUUAAAUAUACAAAAUAUUGGAAAUACGUUCUAGGUGAUAAAUAUAUAAUUUCUGUAGUUACAGAUGGUUAUGUGCAUCAGACUGAAAGUGGAAGUGCAAUCAACCCCUAUUUUCAGACCAAACUUUCCAUGAAUAAAUAGAUAGUUUUAAAAUUUUUACAGUAGUAGUACAUCCAUAUAUACUAGUUAAGGACCCAUGCGAAUGCCGCGAUAUAAAAUAUUCUAAUCAUAAAAUUUAGUUAAUUUUUAUUUUUUAUAAAAAUUUAUUAGCUUGUUUUUUUAAUUAAAUAAGUAAUAAUUAAAUUAAUUUAAAUAAAAAUAACUUAAGUUAGUACAUAUACGACAUAAAUUUUUAUAUUAGAUUAUUAGUGAUCAUCUCGUUAAUAACUACAAAUGUAUAAGUGAAUGUGUUAAAUUAUUAAGCUAAUUACAACACAAUUUAUUAUUUUGUAAAGGUAUGUGUAUCAACUAGGAUUCAAACUAGGAACUUCGGGUAUCAAGUAACAAGUCAUUUGCUGCUUGCGCUAGGGACGGUCGAUAAUGACCUCUCAUAGUUGAAGAGGAGAGUUAGGGUGACACAUGUUUUAUGUGCUUUCCUUAACUCUCCUUUCAGAUAUUACUGGUGAAGGCAUCCACAUGUUACAGUGGAUUGGUACGGCAGAAAUAAAUAAAUAAAUAAAGCUAAAGAAAGAAAAAAUAAUAAAAAAAAGAGUCAAAGAAUAAAAAUAAAAACAAACUAAAAAAGAAGCAGCAACUAUUGCAGUAAAAGUAUAAGAAUAAAAGUAUAAGAAAAGUAAUAAAAAAAAAAAAAGAAUAAAGGCAAAAUAAUAAGAAUAAUAAAUUCAAUUUAUAGCAUCAGUGAAAGUUGAGAAUUAAAAUGUCAUAUGCCUGAGAGUUUGAUUCAGAAAUUGUAACUAAUUAAAGCUUGAGAACUAAUAAUUUGAGCAAGAAAUAAUAAAGCAUUAAAGUUUGAAAAUUAAAGUAUUACGGAUUCUAUAAUUUGAGUAAGAAUUAAUAGCGGCCAUUUGAUAAUCGCCGUUAUCAAAUUAUCGCUAAAUUAUUAUUUUAUUGUAGUGACUGUACUCAUAUAUUUUGUCUUGAAUGAGAAUUCUUUUUAUUUUGGAAGGAUGUUGCAUUCGAUGUGCGAAAAAAUUUCGAGCCCGCUAAUCCCGUGGCGCGUCUUGCCACUCUGGCUCGUUGCCGUCACAUCCUGUCGAGGGAACAAGAAACCGGCAGAUCGCGGAGUUUGCCCACUUUCUCUUUCUCCCUUUCUCCCUAUCUGACUAUUAGGGGUGGAAACGAGCCGAGCUCGAGCGAGCUUAUGUCAGCUGCCGAGCAAGCUUAAUCCGAGCUUUUCGAGCUUAUAUAUAUAUACAUAUAUAUAUCAUCCCGAUAACACGAUAAUCCUCGUGUUGUUUGGAACACAAGGAUUCAAGAAUUGACAGGUAGUUUAAACUAACUACCAAUCCCACUUUCUCUCUUCUCUUUAACUUCUUUUCUUUAAAAGAAGUUAAAGAGAAGAGAGAAAGUGGGAUUGGUGGGUAGUUUAAACUACCCGCCAACUCUUGAAUCCUCGUGUUCCCAUCGGGAUGAGAUAUAUAUAUAUAUAUAUAUAUAUAUAUAUAUAUAUAUUACAUAAAAUUAAUAUAUAUCCAAAAUUAAAUUAAACCCGACAAUAACAACCGAGUAUUUUAUUUGGGUUGUUCAUGUUGGCACGUUAACUCGGGUUGAGUGUUAAAUAUAUUGUGUGAGAGAAAAAGUCUGAAAGUGACAACGUGUAUUGGGAUUUUGCACUAUUGUAAGUUUAAAGGUUUAGGGAUUAAAAAAAGGGGGGGAGAGAGAGAGAAGAGAGAGAGAGUCUGGGAGUGGGUCAAUCCGCCAGUGGGAUCGAGUGUAAAGAACGUUAAUAAAAUAUAAAACUUGAUAACCUGUACAACGUAGUUUAACAUCCAUUACAAGAUAUUUUUAAUUUGAUGACUAAUAUAUUACAGUUCUUAAAGUUAGCCGAGCAAAUCUCGAGCUCGAGCCGAGCUGAGCUUUAAUCCGAGCGAGCUCGAGCGGAGCUUAAUUAAAGUUCAGCUCGAACUCGGAUCUAAAUCCGAGCCUUAAUUAAAGUUCGGCUUAAACNCUCUCCCCCUCUCUCUCGCACGCCACUCUCUCUCUCUCUCUCUCUCUCUCUCUCGCACGAACACCUAUCAUCUUCUAUUGCGCCGUCCUCCCAGGUAAUCAUCACGAUCUCCUUCCCUCCAUUCGUCAUUUCUGUAAAAAAUAAUAUUCAAAUGACCACAACAAGGGUAAUUUUGAAAAAAACUAUACUUUUAUGUCAGGAUUACUAAAUUUUAUAAACUGAACCAAACGUAUUAAUGCUAUAAACACUGUAAUCUAAUAUUACAUUACUGAAUUAAACCAAACGUACUAAUACAGCAUCAGUAGUAAUCUCACGCCGAAAUUCAAGAUACUUGGAUAUGUCGAGAUACUUUGUAAUAUUACAUAACUCGAACCAAACGGGCCCUUAAUAUAAUCAUUCUUCUUCUUUUGCUAUUGUCGUUAUUUUUUUGUUUCGUCUUUUUUCUUCUAAUAACUUUGUUAUUAUUGUUGUUCUUGCUGGUUCUUCUUCUUGGUUCUUCUUCUUUAGCUUCUUUUUUUAUUUUUUUAUAUUUUUACUGCUACUAUAAAUAUAUUUAUUAUUCUUAUGUUUGUGUCUUUAUUCUUUUUUCAUUUCUUUUAUAUUUAUUAUUCUUAUGUUUGUGUCUUUAUUCUUUUUUCAUUUCUUUUUAUGCUUUUAUUCUUAUAUUUUAUUGCACCACCUGUUGCUGCUGCUGCUUCUUCUUCAACUAUUACUUUUUUUCUAAUUCUUUAGUUUCUUUAAAUUUUUUUAUGUUCUUAUUGUUUUUUUCCUUCGGUUUUUUUCUUAUUUAUUUGUCUCCACAUAACUGACUUCCCGCAACGCGCCGGUGUCUUCACUAGUUUUACAAUACCAGCUAGUCUACUACAGACCGUAACCCAAGAACAACUUUUAUAACUUGAGCUCUCUAUAUUACUCUUCAGAUUUGCUAGAAUUCAACUCUUUAAGAGCAGACAACUUAGCAUGCCAUCAAAAUAUCUAGUUUAAUGAUCCGCGUUUUGUCGAUGUCAUAGAUUUCUUUGCAUAAAUACAUGCUUAAUCUGAAAGCGAUAACUUAAUCAAACGAUUUAGUAAUCCAUCAUUCCCAAUUUAAAGAAACCAAAGUUGAUAAAUCUAGUGGAUUAGAAUGGAUUGUCAAACAUGGCCUUCAAAUAAUUAGCUGCAAUAGUUAGGAAAUGCGCGAUAAGAUUGGCAAAGCACAAAACAAACAGCGAGCGAUUUUGUAUCCACUAAACUCCUCUAAAGCUGAUCUAGCUAUUAUGUCCAGAUGAUACAAUUUGGAACUCAGAAUAUGGCAUGUAAAAACAGUUUUCCUAGGGUAAUAAGGUUAACAUGCAAUGGCUAGUAUAACUCAAUUCUUAAUUCUUCACUUAACAACUUGGGACUAACGAAUUUGUCCAGGUCUAAAUCAACAAACCAGAAUUUAGACCGUGCGCAUUUCAAUUUCCGCAACUUGGACCAUUUGUGAACGACAGAGUCGUGCGCGAACAUGUUUGCUUCACAUUAUCAGUUGUUUGGUCGAGAUCUCAGCUGGAAAGUGCAUCUAUAAAGAUAGCANUUAUUCUUUUUUCAUUUCUUUUUAUGCUUUUGUUCUUAUAUUUUAUUGCACCACCUGUUGCUGCUGCUGCUUCUUCUUCAACUAUUACUUUUUUCUAAUUCUUUAGUUUCUUUAAAUUUUUUUAUGUUCUUAUUGUUUUUUUCCUUCGGUUUUUUUCUUAUUUAUUUGUCUCCACAUAACUGACUUCCCGCAACGCGCCGGUGUCUUCACUAGUUUUACAAUACCAGCCCAAGAACAACUUUUAUAACUUGAGCUCUCUAUAUUACUCUUCAGAUUUGCUAUAAUUCAACUCUUUAAGAGCAGACAAUUUAGCAUGCCAUCAAAAUAUCUAGUUUAAUGAUCCGCGUUUUGUCGAUGUCAUAGAUUUCUUUGCAUAAAUACAUGCUUAAUCUGAAAGCCAUAACUGAAUCAAACGAUUUAGUAAUCCAUCAUUCCCAAUUUAAAGAAACCAAAGUUGAUAAAUCUAGUGGAUUAGAAUGGAUUGUCAAACACGGCCUUCAAAUAAUUAGCUGCAAUAGUUAGGAAAUGCGCGAUAAGAUUGGCAAAGCACAAAACAAACAGCAAGCGAUUUUGUAUCCACUAAACUCCUCUAAAGCUGAUCUAGCUAUUAUGUCCAGAUGAUACAAUUUGGAACUCAGAAUAUGGCGUGUAAAAACAGUUUUCCUAGGGUAAUAAGGUUAACAUGCAAUGGCUAGUAUAAUUCAAUUCUUAAUUCUUCACUUAACAACUUGGGACUAACUAAUUUCUUACAAUGUCAUCCUUAAGCAGGAAGAAUUUGUCCAGGUCUAAAUCAACAAACCAGAAUUUAGACCGUGCGCAUUUCAAUUUCCGCAACUUGGACCAUUUGUGAACGACAGAGUCGUGCGCUAACAUGUUUGCUUCACAUUAUCAGUUGUUUGGUCGAGAUCUCAGCUGGAAAGUGCAUCUAUAAAGAUAGCACAGAGAGACAUUAGGUAGGCCAACAAAAUCUGCUUAACUGAAAAUUUGGAGGGCAAAGUAAAUAUCUACCAAACAUGAAGUGAUUACCCCCUAUUCUUUCUAAUUCAUAGUACAAUUCAGACAUGAGAUCUCUUAUUUCUUGCAACAGCUAAAGCCUAUUUCUGCCAAAUAUAAAACUGCAGUACAGUUUGGCCCAAAUAUCUCUUUCAAUUGCCAAAAAAUCAACAAAGAUUAACACUGUAAGUCAUAAAAUUGUUAGAUUACCUCAAACUUGGAAUGCAUUUGGUUCUGAACGACAAUCUAUUAGCGGCAAAGCAUCAAUGGUAAAGCAGCAACCAGGAGAAGAACAGAAUUAUAAAUGACACCUUAAGAUUCUAGAAUUCGCAAACCAUGUACCUUGAAAUUAAACUGAACCAUCAUCAAAGACCAGAAGCAACUCCAUCUACGAGAAAUAAACCUUCCAAAUUGCCCUACCGUUCAAACCUUUAUAUAUGGAUUGGAUCGAAGAACAGGGAAUAAAAAUGCAGAGUUUCCAAGAUCCACAUUUAAUUAACUGUUUGUUUAGCAUGACCAUUUUCUCUAUUGCAAGAAGCAAACAACAGCAUUUGAAACAGGAAAAGCCCUCGUCUUUUUCUAUGGCAGCAAACUGAAAUAAAAUUUCAUUGACUUGUCUGUCUCCAAGAACUAAGUAGGAUUUAUUUCUCACAAAUAUAAAGGCAAACAAGCAAACUCAAUAUAUUGUUAUAUUUCAACUGCCUUUCAGACAAAUACCAGUCAAAAAUUAGUAGAAGCCAAUACCACUUAGAAUAUAAGGGCAACAUAUUUGCAUAAGGUAUGUGUUUUACACUACAAAGUUUUGUAUCUCACACCGAACCCUACAAGUAGAUAAAUUUGACUCUUCACGAGAGCACCAACAAACUCCCAUAUUCAGGAAAAGUAGCAUCUUUUAUUUGUUAAAGCAAAGAUAAGAAGAUAAAAUGCUACAAUAUAACUUGUUAAAGCCUCCAAAGUACUAACAUCAAUAACUAAGAACUUAAAAUAAAGAAAAACCAGCAAUCAAAAUAUAUAUAUAUAUAUAUAUAUAUAUAUAUAUAUUUCCCACCAUUAUGCACGACCAAACAGCACCUGAAUGGCGAAGCAGCCUGGUGUAGAGCAUGACAUUCGGCCUACAAAGCAAAUAAGGAAACAUCUAGUUGUGUUAUUGCAAAGAGACAGAAAAUUUAAACAAACAAGUAUUGCUAAUUAUAUUUCAUUAAUUAGCAUAAUCAUAUAAAGAUAACAUGGAGCAUGUUAUCCAACACUUUAUUAGGAAUACUCUCAGGAAGCAUUAGAAACUAUUCUGCAACAAUUGAUAUGCAAGAAAUAAUUAGCAUCUCUUCCUGAAUCUUAUGAGAAUCAGUAAAAGAUAUAGUCCUCCUAACAAUUCAAAAGCCUCAUCCAAAUUCCUAAUUUUACAAGUCCAAGAAGUUACCAAUUUGGACAAAUAUAUAGCUAGCUAAUGUCGUAGCUGAAAUUUUUUUUCAUUAAAAAAAUUAGCACAAUGAGGAAAAAAUAAAAACUUAACAUAAAACAAAGUUGAACAUUGAUGUAACUAAGCAUUGGAAGUAGAAAUACAAGACGAACAGAAUAAAUAAUUUUAGCAUAGGAAACCUCAUUCUCCUUUUCUACAACAUAUCGCAUGACGCAUGGUUUUCAAGUUAGACAACAGAUAUCGAAUUAAAUAACAAAUGCUCUAAUUAAUUUAAGUACUAUAUACACAAACUAUGACCUAACUAUACAAACAAAUAAAUAAAAAUAUACCUUUACUAACUCGCAGUUGGCUUGAGUCUACAAAGAGCAACUCUAAUGUUACGUUGCACCCCAUAAAACACCUUCGCCUGGAAGAUUUUCCACUCAGCUUCACUGUCAACUGCUUGGAAGGUAACAUAGUACCAAAGUCCUGCUGCGACACUACACGUUGCCUUCUCUAUUUUUACAAACACAUAACUCAUAUCCUACAUUACGAAAACAUCACGAAAUCAAUUUUAUCAAAAAAAAAAAAAAAAAAAAAAAAAACACACAAAGAAAUAAACAAUAAGAAAAGACAUACACAAGGCAACAUGAACAUACAUUUUCCUUAUUAAAAUGUUCGAUUGCCAAUUUAGUACAUCUGAGAAGAAUUUCAUCAUCAAAAUCCGUGAUCGCCGUAAGGCCAAACUCACAAGUGCCUGGAAAUGGAUCAACAUCGAAUCCCUGUAAAAGACAUGUAUUAACAAUUAGUGAAAAAAAGGUUAUGAAACUUUAACUCUCAAAAAGAAGACAAUAAUUAUUAAACACCUCGCUUUCCUUGAUUUGUUUGUAAUAUCUGUCCCAUUCUUCGCGAGUCCUACUGCGAUUACCAUUAGGCCAAACAUAAACCUCAUCUUCCUCUGAAGUAUGCUCAUAAACCCUUUGAUCCUUCUCGUUCCCUUUCUCUUCCUCCAUUUCACUUUGGGUAUCUUCCUCCUUGCCCUCUUCCCUCAUCUCUUCGCUUUCUUCCUGCAGUUUCAACUUCUUCUGCAGCGGCCCUUCAGGUAUCAGGUUCUUGGAAUUCUGCCUGUAUCACAAAAUGAAAUAUAUCUAUCAUAAAAAAUUUAAACAAAUUUCAAUCAAAACUAACGACAAUUUAAAAAAAAAAAAUCUUAAAUUGGCUCAAAUAGAAGAAGAAUUUAGCCGAUGCAUACGAAACAGAGACCAAACAGGGCAUAAUUCAGGUGAUACAUUCCUAGAUUAGGAUUUUCUAAUUACGGAAUAAUAUAUUAUUUAUUUUAAAAUAUUUCAGUUGUUUCCAAUAAAGUGUAAUUAGGGUUAGGUUAUAGAAAUGUGUAUCUUUUAGGGUUUGGAGAAUAAGAAGAAAUUGGUCGUGUUGUUCUCUUCUCCCUUAUCUAUCUUUAUCUCUCUAAUAUCUCUCUCUUUAGGAGGUUCGAUCCCCUCGAAGUGAUCGUUUAUCCCUAUUGAUACUAAUAUCUCUCUCUUUAGGAGGUUCGAUCCCCUCGAAGUGAUCGUUUAUCCCUAUUGAUACUAAUAUCUCUCUCUUUAGGAGGUUCGAUCCCCUCGAGGUGAUCGUUUAUCUCUAUUGAUACAAUACAACGGUAUCAAUUGGCAUCAGAGCCUUGUAUGUAUAGUGUAAACUCCAGCAAAAAAAGAUUUUCUGAAGAAGAUGAAUGGGGAUUUCAUAAGAAAAGAAGAGAUGAACGCUCGGUUUUCCAAUGUGAAGGCCCAACUCAACAAAGUGGAGACCGAGGUAAAGCUCACUAGCGAUUCUAUUAAUGAUCUCAAAAAUUUGAUCAUCCCUAUGAGCACGAAGAUGGAUUUGCAGCCGCAUACGCCAUUUGAAGAUACAUUCGUCUCGAAUUUCGACAAAAAUCAUCCCUUGCUCCCAACUCCUAUUAAGAAGGAAGCAUUGAUCCUAUUCAAAAUGUUCGUGACUAUCAGGCUCGACUCGAAAUGCUUGCCAAUCGCACUUAACAUUUUUCAUAAGUUUCUUGCCAAUCGCACUUAACAUUUUUCAUAAGUUUCUUCAUUAGUGGGCUGAAGGAGGAUCUAAAGUAUAACGUCCGAGCCUUCCGACCAACUUCUAUAUCAGCUGCUAUUGGUCUUGCUCGUCUACAAGAGGAGAAGUUAAUAGCUCAACAUCGUAUUAUGAAGCCUAAGCCUUCCCUUUUGUGCCCUUCCAUGACACCAAUAUCUAAUGAGGCGCUUCCACCCAUAAAGCGCCUUACACCGGCUAAAGCAAAAGUAAGAAGAGAUCAAGGCCUUUUGCUACAAUUGUAUGAAAAAUAGUCCUGGACAUCGAUGAAAAUCAAAGCAACUAUUUUUGAUCGAGGCCGAACGUGAUGAAAACAGAGAAGAUCUAAAGAGGAUAGGCAAAGGUUGAGGAUUUUCCAUCUUGAGGGCAAGGUGGCUAUCGAGGGCGGUGGAAUGACAUAUUCCUAGAUUAGGCUUUUUAAUUAUGGAAUAAUAUAAUAUUUAUUUUAGAACAUUUCAGUUAUUCUCAGUAAAGUGUAACUAGGAUUAGGUUAUAUAGAUGUGUAUCUUCUAGGGUUUGGAGAAAAAAAAAAAUUUGACCGUCUUGUUCUAUCUUCCCUCCCGUUCUCUUCCCUCUUAUCUUAAUCUCUUUAAUAUCUCUCUCUUUAGGAGGUUCGAUCCCCUCGAAGUGAUCGUUUAUCCCUAUCGAUACGGUAGAACCGUAUCAUCAAGCUAAAUUUCGUAAAUAAUUUUUUGGAAGGACUAUUUUUAUAAUUAUAAAAUAUGUUAUAAGUAUAUUAAUAAAAGAAAAGUCAACCAGCCAUCAUAAUCAAAAUAAUCAAAUGCAUAUCAAACGGCACAAACGGCAUUCUAAUCAUUUAUUACAAUCCAAAAUUGAUCAGAGUCAAACACAUAUCAAAAUCGCACAUAAAAAAAAAAGCACAUCCUGACAUAUGUGUACAGAAUAUGGUAACAAACGAGAUGUAUACCUUUGCCAGGUAAAGACAAUCUUCAGGAGAAGCAAGGCCUUCGCGAAUAAAGGCGGUGCGAAGGCACAGGAGAAGGAGACUCAGACUUGCGCUGCAAGUUUUGAUUUUAAUUUAGAGUAAACUUCAAGUCCCAUCCAUGUAGUUUCGCACUUCCUCAUUUUAGUACUCUAUAAUUUAAAGUGUAUCAAUUUAGUGCCCUCUGGUUUUAUUUUUCUCUUUUCAUCAACUUCUUCGUUAAUAUUUCGUUAAAUUAUAUACAAAAAAACUUCAGAUACCCACCUAGGUUUAUCGAAUAUUUACUUUAAUACUCUUUAGUUUUAACUUUGUCAUUGAUUUAAAGAAAAAAAUUAGUAGAAUUGAUAAUAAAAGGAUAAAAAUAAAACCACAGGACGCUAAAUUGAUACACUUUAAAGUAUAAAAUAAUAAAAUGAGAAAAUGUGAAAUCACAGGGGUGAUAUUUGAAAAUUUUCUUUUAAUUUUUAGUUUUUUGUUUUAGCAGUGGGCGGUGGCGUCGGGUGCUUCCCAUACGUGCGCUGCUGGCCCGGUACUUGGCAAAAGCCAAAACCACCUGAGGAACGAAUCACAUCCCCAGUGACGUUUCUGCCCUACUUUUGGAACAAAAGGCCAAAAAAAAAAAAACUUUAAACUAACGUAAAAAAGAUUAUGAACUUUAGUUUUCUUUUUUGUUUUUUUCCCAAUUAGAAUCUUAUUAUUCUAUUUGAAUUGGAUUCUAAUUCGGUUUCAGAUUUUGAAUUCCGAAAUUUUUCGGAUUCAAAUUCAGAUUUACUAUUUUUUUUCCCUAACUCAUAUUCAGAUUCGGAUUCAGAUUCGAAUAUGCAAUUUUGAAAUAUCCCAACAAAACUCUCACAACUUUUUUUUAUUUUAGCUUUAAAUAGAAUUAGGCUGGUAUACUUCCGUGCUACCAAAUUGUUUUCAAUAAUGCAACCUCCAAAUCGACGAUCGGCUCCGUUAGACUUGAUUUAUACUAUUGAAAGUAUUUGAAAACUAAAUUUCAUAAUUUUUCGACAUCAUUUGUCUAGUGAUCAAAAGUUACCAAAAUUGACAAUUUUAAUAGUCGACGUGAUGUAUUUGUGAAUUUAACGGUGUAAAACAAUUCAAAUCUGAUAAAAUCUUUAUAAAAAAUUCUUUUCACUAUUUAGAGUAAGAUCAGUACCUCUGAUCUUAAAUCAAGUCUUUUAUCAUCAUUUUUUAUAAGUUUUUUUAUUUUCAGUCGUUUAUUUUAGACUACUCAUUGAUAGAUAAAUAAUGUCGACAAAUUAUGAAAUUUAGUUUUCAAAUACUUUUAAUAGUGUAGAUCAAGUCUAAUGGAGCCGAUCGUCGAUUUGGAAGCGGCAUCAUUGAAAAUAACUUGGUAGCACUGAGACCUCUGUGCUACCGAUAGUAUACCAGCCGGACUCCUUUAAAUAUUAAUUAAAUAAUAUAAGUGGUAUGGUAUCCAAUGUUGAUUUAGGGGCCGUUUGGUUCAGGAACAAAGCGGGAAUAAAUACUUGUUCCUUUUUUUGUUUCCAGAUGCUAUGUUUGGUACUCGAGAACAAGCAGUUUUCAAGUCUCUGGAAUAAGCAAGUAUAAUCCGGUAUAAGUUUUGAAUUGUUAUUCCAACUUUUUUCUAGAACAAGCUUGUUCCCAAGUAGAAACAAGAUUAAUUAAAGUUUAAAUUUAAUUUUAACUAUGAUAUUAAAUUAUUAAUUAAUCUAAUUAAUAUAUUAGAAUUAUUAUCCAUUGUUUAAAUAAUAAAGUAAUUAAUUAAUUAAUUUAUUAUGUAUAAUUAAUUAGCUAAUUAAUUAUUAAUAAUUUAAUGUGUUUAUCUAUAAAUUAAUUUUUAUAUUGAUCAACCAUUAAUAUUAUUAUUAUUCUAAUUAAUUUUUUAAUUAGUUAUCAGACUAAAAUAAUUUACUAACUAAUUAAAAAUCUAAAUUAUUUUUUAUAGUUAAUUAAUUAAUUGAUAUAUUUUUAUUAUCUUCUAUAAUAUUCAUAGGUAAUAAAUUUAUUAAUUUAUUAAAUUAUUUUAAUUAAUAUUUUGAUGUUAAUUAACAGGAUAAAACAUUUUUAAUUUAAAAUUAUAACUCUUGUUUUUUCUGUUUCAAUCUAAUCAUCCAAACACUAUUUACCUUAUUUUCAAAAACAAUCUAAUUUUUGUCUAAAUGCAAAAUUAGUCUAGUUUCUGUUUAUAUCUAAACUUAUAUCUAUUUGUGAAAUAAGUAGUUUUUACUCGUAUCUGAACCAAGAUUCUUUUUUAUUAGUUCGGUUUGGACUACUAUUGAUGUGACAAACUAUUUAUUUACCUUAUAGUCUCUCUUCUUCUUUUUUUCCUUAUUUCUUUAAUUUAUGUUUUUUUUUUAUUAUUUUGAAGUGGUGGUUUCAUCACAAACAAAUAUCUUCCUUCGUUUCUUUGUCAUUGUACCAUCAACUAAAACCUUUUCUUAAAAUAGAGAUCAAAGGUUGUGACUAUUUGCUUAGGAGGCCGUUUCUAGAAGAAGGAAUGCAAGCUUACAACAAAAUUCUAUUAUGUGCGGAAUGGCAAUCUUGGUGGGUCUGCUCCUACAGGCAACCAUUAUUUGCAGCCGUAAGGUGGAGUGAGGGUUUUGAUGCGGUAUGCUUUGAGGUUGAUCUGAACUUUCAUAGUACAAUCAGAGGUUAAAUUUUGUGUGAAAGUUGCAGAUUUGGGCUUCAGCUCCCUAUGGGAGAAGAGUAAAAUUACGCUGUUGUUUUCUGAAAUAUUGCAUAGCCCCCCGACCUCCACCACCUUGAUAUUUAACAGUUUGUUUUGAUUUUGAGUGACCAAGUAAAUUUGAUUUGCCUAAUGUCUAUCUUUUUUUUAUUUUUUUUCUUUCUUUCUUUCUUUCUUUCUUUUUUUAGCUACUUGCUUUUGCUUCUCCUCUACUUACCACUAUAAUUUUAUGGCCUUUGAAUCAUUUGAAGCAUUUUGGUUGUUUUCAUUUUAGUCUUUACUGUGUCGUGAUUAUCUAACAAACUCUUUAGGUUAGCUGCAAAAGAAGUGCCUUUUAUUGUUGAACUACAAUGGGGGUGCCGUAUGCUGCUCUUGUUGUUGCUAUUAUUAUUAUUAUUAUUGUUGUUGUUGUUGUUGUUGUUGUUGUUGUAGUUCUUCUUCUUCUUCUCUUAUGUUGUUGAACUAUAGAAGGGGUGCUUCUUCUUCUUCGUCGUCGUCCUGCUCCUCCUCCUCCUCCUCCUCCUCUCCUAUUCUUGUUGCUAUUAUUAUUAUUAUUGUUAGAAGGGGUGUAAAGUCUCAUCUUUCAUUUUUUGGCUGGAAAAAGUGGUAAAGUUGGAAGACUUUGCAUUCAAGUAUCUCCUGCACUGCAGGACUAUUUUGGCAGGGGCUACUCGGCAGGCAACCAUUUUGCAUUCAGAUUGACAUUACAGAUAUGAGGGACUAGUGCACAAUAUCCAAGAUUCGAGGGAAUCACAUGCCUCCCAAAAUGAGAUAGAGAGAGGGAGAAAAACUCUUAUUAUCGAUGAAUCGGCAUCUCUGAAACAUGGUCAAAUUAGAGAAAAGCUUUCUAAGAAGAGAGGCGAUGAUGGUUCGUAAUCCUCCUCUCAUGCUCUGCCACUCCCUGAUUUAGUAAUGGCGUGGCAACCCUGGAGGUAUAUUGUCUUAAGGUGACAAUUACAUGUUGUGGUUGUGAGACUGGUUUGUGGACAACAAAUGGCAACCAGGUUGGUAUUCAUUGCUAGGUGGGAGUGGUGAAGACCGAAGAUAGGAGGGAGGCUAAUGGAAUAGUUCCCCUGAGCCUCUGCUUCUAAAUCCUGUUUUAUUGUUCUAUGAAUUAUGAAGGCUUUUUGUGGACUUCUGUCCAUGCAUCUUGUGCAGGUAAUAAUUUCUCGAGCUUAUCUUUUUCUGAUAAGGUUGAGGAUUUUCCAUCUUGAGGACAAGGUGGCUAUCGAGGGCGGUGGAAUGACAUAUUCCUAGAUUAGGCUUUUUUAAUUAUGAAAUAAUAUAUUAUUUAUUUUAAAACAUUUCAGUUAUUUUCAAUAAAAUGUAACUAGGGUUAGGUUAUAUAGAUGUGUAUCUUCUAGGGUUUGGAGAAUAAGAAGAAUUUGACCAUCUUGUUCUAUCUUCCCUCCCGUUCUCUUCCCCCUUAUCUAUUUUUAUCUCUCUAAUAACUCUCUCUUUCUUUAGGAGGUUCGAUUCUCUCGAAGUGAUCGUUAAUCCUUAUCGAUACGGUAGAACUGUCUGUAUCAUCAGGCCAAAUUUCGUAAAUAAUUUUUUUGAAGGACUAUUUUUACAAUUAUAAUAUGUUAUAAGUCUAUUAAUAAAAGAAAAGUCAACCAACCAUCGUAAUCAAAAUAAUCAAAUGCAUAUCAAACGGCACAAACGGCAAUCUAAUCAUUUAUUACAAUCCAAACUUAAUUAAUCAGAGAGUCAAACACAUAUCAAAAUCGCACAUAAAGAAAAAAAAGCACAUCCUGACACGUGUACAGAAUACGGUAACGAACGAGAUGUAUACCUUCGCCAGGUGAAGACAAUCUUCAAUACGUCCAUGUCGAGAAGGACAAUGCGGCGGCGGCGGCGGCGGCGGAUGCCGGGCGAAGACGGGGGGAAGGAUCGGACUUCAGGAGGAGCAAGGGCUUCGCGAACAGAGUCAGUGCGAAGAGACAGGAGAAGGAGACUCCGCCGCCGCCGAUGCCGGGUGAAGACGGGGGGAGGAUCGGACAAGGGCUUCGGGAACAGAGGCGCCGAUGCCGGGCGAAGACGGGGAGAGGAUCGGACAAGGGCUUCGGGAACAGAGGCGGUGCGAAGGGACGGGGGAGAAGGAGACUCAGACUUGCUGUGCACGUUUUGAUUUUAGUUUUAGAAAAACUUCAAAUGCCAUCCUUGUGGUUUUAUAUUUUCUGACUUUAAUAUUCUAUAAUUUAAAUUUAAAGUGUAUUAAUUUAGUAUUUUACGAUUUUAUUUUUAUUUUUUUAUUAUAAAUUUUAUUAAUUUUUUUCGUUAAAUCAGUGACAAAGUUAAAACUAAACGGUAUUAAAAUGAAUGUUCGAUAAACCUAGGUGGGGUAUCUAAAAUUUUUUAUAUAUAUUUUAACGAAAUAUUAACGAAAAAGCUAACGAAAAAAUAAAAAUAAAACCGCAGGACACUAACUAGAUACACUUUAAUUAUAGGGUACUAAAAUAAGAAAGUGUGAAACCACAUGAGUGAUUUUUGAAUUUCACCCUUUAGUUUUCAGUUUUUAGUUUUUUUAUUUUAGCAGUGGACGGUGGUGUCGGAUGCUUUCCAUACGUGCGCCACAGGCCGAUACAGACUUGGCAAAAGCCAAAACCACCUGAGGAACAAAUCACAAUCCCAGUGACGCUUCUGCCCUACUUUUGGAACAAAAUGCCAAAAAAACAGCAAAAAACUUUAAACUAAUGUAAAAAGGGUUAAUUACACCGAUGGUCUCAAAUCUUUGCACUAUUUUUCACUUGGGUCCCCAACUUUUUUUUUUGCAAUUGAGUCCCUAAUCUCUUGAUUUUAUUACAAUCACGUCCCGCCGUAAAAAAUACUGUUAAAAUUAAUGGAAUAGAAUAGGCAUCCUUUUGCAUGUUAAUUUUGGUCCAUAAACUUUGCACGUUUUUCACUUUAGUCCCUAAAAAAAAUUUAAAAUUUUAAUUUGAAAUUCAAAAAUAAUAUUAAAAUUAAAAUUUUAAACUAACGAGAAAUUAGAAAUUUGAAUUUGAAUUUAAAGCUAAAUUAAAAUCUUGAAUUGAAAUUUAAAUUUUAAAUUUGAAUUUUAAAUUGAAUCUAAAAUUUGAAUUCAAACUUAAAGUUUUGAUUUUGAUAUUUCAAUUUACAUUUAAAAUGAAAGUUUUGAAAUUGAAAUUUAAAUUUAAAAUCGUAUUCAAAAUUUUGAUUUUAAAUUUAAAUUUGAAUUCAAAAUUUAAAUUUAAAAUUAAGAUUUGAUUUCAAUUCUAAAUUUGAAUUUAAACAUCGAAUUCAAAUUCACAUUUUGAUUUGAAAUUUCAAAUCAAAGUUUGAAAUUAAAUUAGAAUUUAAAAUUCGAAAUGUGAAUUCGAGUUUAAAAUUAAAAUUUUAAAAUUAAAUGUAAAAUCAGAAUUUGAAUUCAAAUUUAAAUUUGAAUCCAAAAUCAAAAUUUAAAUCUUAAAUUAAAAAUCUUGCUUUAAAUUUAUAAAUGUAAUGGGUUAAUUACACCAUUGGUCCUCAACCUUUACACAAUUUUUCAAUUUAGUCCUCAACCUUUUUUUUUUUUUGCAAUCCGCUGACACCCGCCUCUGUGGCGCUGACACGGCGCCUCCGUGGCGCUGACAUGGUGCUGACGUGGUAUUUUCCGUCAAUUUUAAUACCUUUUUGACGGCUGGGACUUAAUUGUAAUGAAAUCAAUAUAUUAGAGACUUGAUUGCAAAAAAAAAAAGAUUGGGGACCAAAUUGAAAAAUAGUGCGAAGGUUUGGGACCAAUGGUGUAAAUAACCCAAUGUAAAAAAGAUUAUAAACUUUAGUUUUCUUUUUUGUUUUUUUUUUUUCUAAUUAGGAUCUUAUUAUUCUAUUUGAAUUUGGAUUCUAAUUCGGUUUCGGAUUUUGAGUUCCGAAAUUUUUUGGAUUCAAAUUCAGAUUUACUAUUUUUUGCCCCAACUCAUAUUCAGAUUCGGAUUCGGAUUCGAAUAUGCAAUUUUAAAAUAUCCCAACAAAACUCUCACAACUUUUUUUUAUUUUAGCUUUAAAUAGAAUUGGAUUCGGAUUCGAAUUCGGAUUCGAAUAUGCAAUUUUGAAAUAUCCCAACAAAACUCUGACAACUUUUUUUAUUUUAGCUUUAAAUAGAAUUAGGCUGGUAUACUAUCGGUAGUACGGAGGCCUCCGUACUACAAAAUUGUUUUCAAUGAUGCGGCUUCCAAAUCGACGAUCGGCUCCGUUAGAUUUCAUAUACGCUAUUGAAAGUAUUUGAAAACUAAAUUUCAUAAUUUUUCGACAUCAUUUGCCUAGUGAUCAAAAGGUAUCAAAAUUGACAAUUUCAUAAUUUUUCGACAUCAUUGGCCCCAAUUUCCCUUUCAAUUGCCAAAAAUCAACAAAGAUUAACACUGUAAGUCAUAAAAUUGUGAGAUUACCUCAAACUUUGCAUUCGGUUCCGAACGCCACUCUAUUAGCGGCAAAGCAUCAAUGGUAAAGCAGCAACCAGGAGAAGAACAAAAAUAUAAAUGACACCUUGAGAUUCUAGAAUUCGCAAACCAUGUACCUUGAAAUUAAACUAAACCAAAAGCAACUCCAUCUACGAGAAAUAAACCUUCACGUACGGAUCGGAAUAGCAAUUCCAACUGUUUGUUUAGCAUGACCAUUUUCUCUAUCGCAAGAAGCAAACAACAGCAUUUGAAACAGGAAAAGCCCUCGGCUCUUUCUAUGGCAGCAAACUGAAAUAAAAUUUCAUUGGCUUGUCUGUCUCCAAAGAACUAAGUAGGAUUUAUUUCUCACAAAUAUAAAGGCCAACAAGCAAACUCAACAUAUUGUUAUAUUUCAACUGCCUUUCGGACAAAUACCAAUCAGAAAUUAGCAGAAGCCAAUACCGCUUAGAAUAUAAGGGCAACAUAUUUGCCUAAGCUAUGUGUUUUACACUGCAAAGUUUUGUAUCUCACACCGAACCCUACAAGUAGAUAAAUUUGACUCUUCACGAGAGCACCGACAAACUCCCAUAUUCAGGAAAAGUAGCAUCUUUUAUUUGUUGAGGCAAAGAUAAGAAGAUAAAAUGACACAAUAUAACUUGUUAAAGCCUCCAAAUUACUAACACUAAUAACUAAGAACUUAAAAUAAAGAAAAACCAGCAAUCGAAAAAAAAAAAAAAUUUACCACCAUUAUUCACGACCAAACAGCACCUGAAUGGGGAAGGCCUGGUGUAGAGCAUGACAUUCCGCCUGCAAAGCAAAUAAGGAAACAUCUAGUUGUGUUAUUGCAAAGAGACAGAAAAUUUAAACAAACAAGUAUUGCUAAUUAUAUUUCAUUGAUUAGCAUAAUCAUAUAAAGAUAACAUGGAGAAUGUUAUCCAACACUUUAUCACGAAUACUAUCAAGAAGCAUCAGAAACUAUUAUGCAACAAUUGAUAUGUAGGAAAUAAUUAGCAUCUCUUCCUGAAUCUUGUGAGAAUCAGUAAAAGAUAUAGUCCUCCUAACAAUUCAAAAGCCUCAUCCAAAUUCCUAAUUUUACAAGUCCAAGAAAUUACCAAUUUGGACAAAUAUAUAGCUAGCUAAUUGUGGUAGCUGAAAUUUUUUUCAUGAAAAAAAAUUAACACAAUGAGGAAAAUAUAGAAACUUAACAUAAAACAAAGUUGAACAUUGAUGUAACUAAGCAUUGGAAGUAGAAAUACAAGACGAACAGAAUAAAUAAUUUUAGCAUAGGAAACCUCAUUCUCCCUUUCCACAACAUAUCGCAUGUCACAUCGUUACAAAUAUCGAAUUAAAUAACAAAUGCUCUGAUUAAUUUAAAUACUAUAUACACAAACUAUAACCUAACUAUACAAACAAAUAAAUAAAAAUGUACCUCUACUAACUCGCAGUGGGCUUGAGUCUACAAAGAGCAACUUUAAUGUUACGUUGCACCCCAUAAAGCACCUUCGCCUGGAAGAUUUUCGGCUCAGCUUCACCGUCAACUGCUUGGAAGGUAACAUAGUACCAAAGUCCUGUUGCGACACUACACGUUGCCUUCUCUAUUUUUACAAACACGUAACUCAUAUCCUACAUUAUAAAAAACAUCAUAAAAUCAAUUUUAUCAAACAAAAAUAAAGACACAAAGAAAAAAACAAUAGGAAAAGACAUACACAAGGGAACAUGAACAUACAUUUUUCUUAUUAAAAUGUUCGAUUGCCAAUUUAGUACAUCUGAUAAGAAUUUCAUCAUCAAAAUCCGUGAUCGCCGUAAGGCCAAACUCACACGUGCCUGGAAAUGGAUCAACAUCGAAUCCCUGUAAAAGACAUGUAUUAACAAUUAGUGAAAAAAAAAAAGGUUGUGAAGCUUUAACUCUCAAAAAGAAGAUAAUAAUUAUUAAACACCUCGCUUUCCUUGAUUUGUUUGUAAUAUCUAGCCCAUUCUUCGUGAGUCCUACUGCGAUUACCAUUCGGCCAAACGUAAACCUUAUCUUCCUCUGAAGUUGCUCAUAAACCCUUUGAUCCUUCUCGUUCCCUUUCUCUUCCUCUAUUUCACUUUGGAUUUCUUCCUCCUUGCCCUCGUCCCUCAUCUCUUCGCUUUCUUCGUGCAGUUUCAACUUCUCCUACAUCGACUCUUCAGGUAUCAGCUUCUUAGCAUUCUGCUAUAUCACAAAAUGAAAUACAUCUAUACAUAAAAAAUUUAAAUAAAUUUCAAUCAAAACUGACGACAAAUUAAAAAAAAAAUUCUUAAAUUGGCUCAAAUAAAAGAAGAAUUUAGCCGAUGCAUACGAAAUAGAGUCCAAACAGGGCAGAAUUCAGGUGAUACAUUCCUAGAUUAGGAUUUUCUAAUUACGAAAUAAUAUAUUAUUAUUUUAAAAUAUUUCAGUUGUUUCCAAUAAAGUGUAAUUAGGGUUAGGUUAUAUAAAUGUGUAUUUUUUAGGAUUUGGAGAAUAAGAAGAAAUUGGCCGUGUUGUUCUAUCUUCCAUCUUGUUCUCUUCCCCCUUAUCUAUCUUUAUCUCUCUAAUAUCUCUCUCUUUAGGAGGUUCGAUUCCCUCGAAGUGAUCAUUUACCCCUAUCGAUACGGUAGAAUCUUGUUCUAUCUCCCCUCCCGUUCUCUUCCCUCUUAUCAAUCUUUAUCUCUCUAAUAUCUUUCUCUAGGAGGUUCGAUUAUCUCAAAGUAAUCGUUUAUCCCUACCGAUACGGUAGAACCGUAUCAUCAGGCCAAAUUUCGUAAACAAUUUUUUUGAAGGAAUAUUUUUAUAGUUAUAAUCUAUUACUCUUUAUGAAUCCCCAAUGUUUUAAGCUGAUGUGUCAUAACCUCCUAAUUUUGAAUUUUUUUUAAUUUAGAAUGAUCAAUUUUAUUCUCUCUCUCAACAUACGUCUCUUCAUCUCCCCCAUUUAAUUUUUAUUUAGAAUGAGUCAUUUUACUCUCUCUCUCAACAUACGUCUCGUCAUCUCCCCUAUUCAAUUUUUAUUUAGAAUUAGCCAUUUUACUCUCUCUCUCUCAACAUUCGUCUCCUCAUCUCCCUCAUUUUAUUCUCUCUUUCUUAACAUACGUCUCUUCAUCUCUUCCAUUUAAUUUUUAUUUAGAAUAAGCUAUUUUACUCUCUCUCUCCAUCGUUGGUAGAUGUACCAAGUGAGAUAUACAAAAAAAUAUUUAAUAUUUUAUUAUUAUUAAUUACUACUAUAGUUUCUAUCCGCUGCAAAGCGCGGGACUCUUCACUAGUAUGAUAUAAGUCUACUAAUAAAAGAAACGUCACAAACAAACGGCAUUCUAAUCAUUUAUUACAAUCCGAACUUAAUUAAUCAGAGAACCAAACACAUAUCAAAUCGCACAUUCAAACAAAAACAAAAAAAAAGAAAGCACAUUCUAACACAUGUGUACGGAAUAUGGUAACGAACGAGAUGUAUACCUUUGCCAGGUGAAGACAAUUGUAAUGUCUUGAAGAAUAAGUAGUUUAAUAGUUAGUAGGGGAAGGAAGUAAAAAUGUCAACUUUACAAUAGUAAGACCAGAAAUAAGGACGGAAGUAGUAGGCGGAUCGGGCGGUCGAAUUACCGGAUCGGGCGUAAAACGCAGACCCAAGCCCCGCCGGGUUGCGGGUGAUGCGGAGAAGGCAGGAACCGACGCCCACUUACCGUUAUGCAUGGGUCAGGCGAACCGGAGCUCGGAUCGAGGCGAAAUGGCAAACCCAAGACCUGCAGGGUUGCGGGUAGUGAGGAGAAGUGCGGACCCGAGUCCGUUUGCCUGACAAUCAGCAGAAGAGAUCGGGAAAGCCCGGGAAAGGGCCCAACUACCAUGAGAUUUCAGCCCAUACGAGUUUUUCCUCAAUUUAUCACUUUUGCUGUUUAGCCCUCAUAGACUAGGUGCGUUUUUAGUUUAGUCCAAAUUACCAAGUACUAUAAAUACCAAAGUAUAAUGUAAACAGGGUAUCAAUAAAAUGAAAUAUUGAAUCUGCUUCUUCCCCAAACUCUCUUCUUCUCUAAACUCUCUUUUCCCAACUCUUAUCUUUUCUCUACCUCUCAUCCACACCAUGUCUAAACUCUAAACACAAUGAAUAAUUCGCCGUGUUUAAAAAAAUACAAUUAUAUGUAUUACGAAAAAAAUAUAAGUAUUAAAAAAAGGGAAUACAAAAAAUAUAAGCACGGAACAUGGUGAAUGGACCAUUCACCGUAAUUGAACACGAUGAAUGAUUUACCGUGUCUAAGAAAAAUAUAUCAUUUACCGUGUUUGAAUGCGGUGAAUGAUUCACGGUGUUCAACUUAUCACCCCUCCAGCUUUUACAAAAAUAAUUUAUAAAAUUUAAAUUUUAUAAAAAUAUAUUUGUUUGUUAUAAUCGGAACGACGAAAAGUAGAUCCAGAAAAUAAUUUAAUGCAGGAAAAGAAAAGAUAAGGAAAGAGUACACCGAUAUUUACGUGGUUCGGCCAACAGCCUACGUCCACGGGCGAAGACGGAGCAAAUACUUUGUUAAUGUCGAAAAGGCGGAAUACAAAGAAGAUUUCUCGAAAAAUAACCAAAGCUUAAUUAGAUCGAAACGCCGCAACAAGCAACUCCAAAAUUGGCUUCUCUCUCACCCGUACGACGUAUGGCUAAAUUAAAGUAGCCGCGGAUUCUUGACCGUACGAAACGUGCAUAGCUUGGCUUAAUUAGAGUGUGGCUUCUAAUCAGCCGCAGCUCCUGACCGUACGGACCGCAAGACCAACAUGGAUUGCUUAAUUAGAGCCCCGGCAGCUCAGAAUAAUUAGCACAUGGCAUCUAAUUUUGGUCGCGGCAUUAUUAACUUAGCCGUAGCGUAUCUAUUACUCUAUGUGAAUUCCCAAUAAUUUUGCCACGUGGCAAGUUUUUCUCCACUCUCACUAAUCUUUUUUUUGAAUUGAUUUUUACUCUUGGCUUUUCCACUCCCAUCUUCUUUAUUCAAUGACAUGUAAUUAAUGUGCUUUUUAAUUUAUACGUUUCCUAUUCAAAAUUACUUUUUUUGAAUUGAUUCUUACUCUUGGCUUUUCUCCUCCCCUCCUCUCUAUUCAAUGACAUAUAAUCAAUGUGCUUUUUAAUUUAUACGUUUUCUCUUCACAAUUAGUCCUUUCUUCUCCCACAAAUAAUUCCUAACAUGCAAAAUUAGAAAAGGAGAAGAUGAAUAGUUACUACUUUCAGAUCUAGAGAUUGGGGAAUAGUAAGGGAGUUUUCCAAGCUCUAAUCCGUGCCAAUCCGACUCGACCCGAACCCCCCCCCUCCGAAUCAAAAGAGUGUUUAUAGGGUUUCUAUUAAUGCCGAUCUCUUCGGAUUUAUGGAAAAAUAAGGUAAUCGAACGGUUUUUCAAUAGAGAAAGCUAAUUGGAGAGCAAUAAUGGACGGUUCGAGGGGUAGGUUUGGAAAACGAAAAUCCUAAACCUAAUUUUUCUUUUCUUUAUUUUAAUCUCGAAUUCUUACUAUGUAUUCAUUUAGAAUUUAAUUUAUUUGCAUUAUUUUUUAUAUGGUGAUUGUAUCAAUUAAGGACUUGAUUUAUAUGCAUUAUUUUGAUUAAUUUAGAGGUUAUUUUUUAUUUCAUAAUUGAUGUGGCAGGUUUGGCCCACAACUUUUGAUCAUUCCAUGCUCAAAAGGGUGCAAAAUUUUGCAAAUUUUUAUCAGAUUUUCAUCGCCAUCGUCGUCAUCAUCGCAACAUUAUUAUCUCCAUCUUCAUACGACCUUUGUAGGUUUUUUUUUUUUGAAUGUUGAUUCUGGGCAGUUAUCAAUUUUCAAUGGCUAUAUUGGUUAGUUCAAUUCAUACGUUUCCCUACCCAAAAAAUAAAACACUCUUAAAUUUUUAUUUUCCAAACUUCUUUCUUCUUACUCUUCAAUAUUUUUUAAUUUUUUUUCUAUUAUUUAUCCGCGGCAUCGCGCGGGUUAGUACACUAGUAUAUAUAUAUAAUACAUGUUUUCUAAUUAAAGUCUAAUUCUAAUUAGAUUAGAAUUACACUCCUAAUUAUAAUCUAUAAAAUAUAUAUGCUAAAUUAAAUCUAAAUUAUAUCCAAUCCCAAAUAAAUUAGGAUUUAACUCUAAUUUAGAUAACUACAAAUCUAAACCAAAUAUAAAAAUAAUUUACUAUAUUUUGGCAACCUGUAUGUAAUUAACCUAAAAAUUUUCGUCUUAUGAGUGGAGGAGGACAUCAGUAAUUAAAGGGCUUUCUUUGCAAAUAGCCCCCUGAAAAAUUUUAUUUGCGCAAAUAGCCCCGUCUAAAAAUUAUUUGCAAAAAUGGCCCUGGCCCUGCCACGCCAGCGCCACGUCAGCGCCACGCGAGCAGGGCCUGGGCCAGGUGGCUAAGUUGAACACGGCAAUUGGUUCACCGUGUUUAGACACGGUGAACCAAUCACCGUGCUCAUUGUAUUACUCCCGCCCACGACGGGGUGUUAGUAUUACAUUAGACACGGUGAUUCGUUCACCGUGUCUAAACACGGUGAACCAUUCACCGCGUCUAAACACGGUGAACUAUUCACCGCGUUUAGACACGGUGAACCAAUCACCGUGUCUAAUGUACUACACACCAUUUCGCGGGUGCCAAAUAAGGCAUAGAACACGGUGAUUGGCUCACCGUUGUAUUAGACACGGUGAACCAAUCACCGUGUCCAAUGUAUCACUCCAGCCCAAGGCGGAGGGUUGGUACCACACUUAAACACGGUCGAUACGUUCACCGGGUCUAAACAUGGUGAACUGUUCACCGCAUUUAGACACGGUAAACGGUUCACCGCGUAUAGGACACGGUGAACGGAUCGCCGUGUCCAAUGCAUGGGCCGGGUGCGGCUGCGAGAAAAUCUAACACGGCCUGGCCCAGUUCGUUAACCAAGCGCCUAUGGCCCAAUAAAGAAAGUCGGGCCAGAUCUAAAAGUGCGGCUGCGAGAAAAUCUAACACGGCCUGGCCCAGGAACCGAAUCAAUGCACGGGCCGGGUGCNCCUGGGCCAGGCCGUGUUAGAUUUUCUCGCAGCCGCACUUUUAGAUCUGGCCCGACUUUCUUUAUUGGGCCAUAGGCGCUUGGUUAACGAACUGGGCCAGGCCGUGUUAGAUUUUCUCGCAGCCGCACCCGGCCCAUGCAUUGGACACGGCGAUCCAUUCACCGUGUCCUAUACAACCCUAUACCCCGAAAAUGGCUAAGUCUGGUAAACCCUAAACCUUCGAAAAUGGUUAAGUCUGGUAAACCCUAAACCUUGAACUAACUGAAUUGGACACGGUGAACCAUUCACCGUGUCCAAUACAACUAGCCACACCUAAGCCGUAUUUGGCCAAAUAUGGAAGUAAAGGACACGGUGAUUAGUUCACCGCGGUGAAUAGUUCACCGUGUUUAGACACGGUGAAUGAAUCACCGUGUUUAGACACGGUGAACGAAUCACCGUGUCUAAUGUAAUACUAACACCCCGUCGUGGGCGGGAGUAAUACAAUGAGCACGGUGAUUGGUUCACCGUGUCUAAACACGGUGAACCAAUUGCCGUGUUCAACUUAGCCACCUGGCCCAGGCCCUGCUCGCGUGGUGCUGAUUUGGCGCUGGCGUGGCAGGGCCAGGACUAUUUUUGCAAAUAAUUUUUAGAUAGGGCUAUUUGCGCAAAUAAAAUUUUUCGGGUGGCUAUUUAAUUGAAAUUUUCGUCUAAUAAGUGAGGGAGGAGGCCAUCAGUAAUUGGUGUAUUCUAGACUCUUUCGUGUCUUCGGGAGGUACAAGGCGUGCUCCUUUUCUUGCUAUGACGAACUCCCACAUCACCAAAGAGAGGGGAAAAAAAAAAAAAAAAGGAGGGAGAAAACACAUUUCUCUCUCCUUUGAUCCUUUCCCGGAAACCAAACAUCGCAUUACAGAAUCUGGCAAUGGCGGGGCAGCGCGCUGGAUGNGGCCAUCAUUUAUAAUGAUGAUGAUUAUCAUCAUAAUCUUUAAAGGCGCUUCGACUUCAUGUGAGGAUGCCUCCGUUGUCGACGGCAUUGGAUCAGCAUCUUCUUGCUCCCUUUCAUAUUUUUUGAUCCUGGCUGAAGUAACUAUCAUCAUUUUUUCUUUUUCUUUUUAUUCUACUUCUCCAUUUCUCUUCUUGAUGCCUCCUCUUCCUCCUCCUUGUUGUUGUUACUGUUACUGUGUUCGUGUUGGUGUUGGUGUUGGUGGUGGUGGUGGUGGGGGUGGGUGGAGCCUACCGUCUCCCCGCCCUAUCCUGAAAGGUUUCAGGAAAACCCACAAAACUUCGCCUUUCGGGGUAAAGAUGUAUAAAACUUUCCGCAACUAUCAUCCUUUUCGAUCUGACUACCUAACAGUUAAAAGUUUGGAUUUUACUACCCGUUCUUUCAAUUUAUUUGAUUUAAGCCGAUUAGUAAGCAACUAUGAAUUCAUUAAAGUAAGCAAUUAGUUUAAAUUUUGAAGUCCGAUUAUCGUUGACCGACUCAAAUCGAACAAAUUGGAAAGUUCGGUGGUAAAAUCAAAAUUCUGGGAGGUCGGGUGGUCGACUCAAAAUGAGGCAUUUAGGUUCUCGCAGUUGGUGCUUGGCAUGGUCAUGGUAAUCUUGGAAGGCUCUGCUCUUCUACAGGCAACCACUUUUCCAUGCGAUGUCUUGUGGUGUACUGCAGUACUGUGUUUCGUACCAAUUUUUCCGUGCAGGUGUUUUGGAGCGGAAAUUGGAAUCAUGGUAGAUCCGACUGGAACCGUUGGGUUUGCUUAGACUUGCUGAAAUCACUUCAAACCGGUGGAAAUCAAUUCAAACCACACCUGCUAAUGUUUCCAAGGAUUUACAUGUUCUUGGUUGCAAUUUCAUCCAAAUCAGUGAUUUGGAGGAUCCGAAACUGGGUGCAAAGGAGGCUGUGAUGGUUGCCAACCUGGGUGCUAAUGCUUUGUCCAAGCCAUUUCUUCUUUACCCAGUGUAUACAGCGAAAACAGCUCUUUUAAUAUCAUUUCUUCUUCGGCAAAUUGGAUGGUCUGCUAAUUUAGCAGGCAACCUUAUGCUAGCAUCCAUUGUUAUGGUGCAUGGAUUUUAUGAUGCUUUCUGAGUAAGGCCGGGGAAAUGGUUGUGAACAAACAAAUUGAGGCUUUCGGUGGGUCUCUUGCUGUGUCAUCAACCAUAAUAUUGAUUAGCGACAUAUUGCCGUUCACUCAACUUAAUUGGCUUGUGAGACUUGAUAGCAACAAUCAAGAAAGUUCGAGUCGAAAUUGCAACAAUUAUAUUUUGAGGACUAAAGUGUUACCUGCCUCAUUGUUUGAGGACCAAAAGUGUAAUUUAGCCUUAUUUUAUCUAACAAACCACUGAGCAGGUAAGAAUUUUCUUGCUAAAUUGCAUGUUUGGUCCUCAAACAAUGUGUAACACUUUGGUUCUCAAACUUUAAUCUGUUACAAUCUAGCCUGAACUUUUUGAAUUGUCGCAAUCAAGUCCUGCAAUCCAAUUUAGAUGACUAAAUAUUGAUGCAUCAUUGAUGUAAUAGUGAUGUGACAUUUUAUUUUUUGUCUCAUCAUCAAUUACCAUAUUGCUACCGUCACUUUCACAUUACCGACAUAUCAAUAUUUAGUCAACUAAAUUAGAUUGUAGGACUUGAUUGCAACAAUUUGAAUCAGAAAUUACAAUAAAUUAAUGUUUGGUCCUUGUCAUGUGUCUCAAAGUUUGAGGACAAAAUGUGCAAUUUACCCUAAUUUUCCUCAUCUCAGUGGCAGCUCUCAAUUGGAAGGUCUGCUGUUUUGCAGGCAACCUUGUUCUGUCAUUUGUCUUCAAGGUGCAUAAGACUCUCAUGAUGCCUCUUGAUAUGAUCAAAUGGCAUGUUGAACCCUCUCUUUCCUUCUACUUGAAACAUUCGUUCUACUUUCUUUUCAGCUUUUAAUAUUUCUCAUGUCGACCGUCCGUGUGUCCUCAUGUUGACUGUAUGCUUCAAUCAGACAGGCACUUAAUGUUUUAUCCCAUGUUAAGUAUUUUUUUCCCUUCAUUUUACUUGUCAAAGGAGGCUGUGAUGAUUGUCGGUUGGGAAUGCACCUCAGCUUAUUUUAUCCCGGCUUUUGCUUCUCGGCGGAGUACAGAAGCUGAUAAGGAUACUGGAUAUAAGAGGCAAUAUAGUCAACUCAAACCUAAGAUUUUGGUUGGGUUUUGACAAGUCGGGUGGGAUUUGAAUCUGGUUUGUUAGUUUGCUUUGUCCUUUUACAACCCUUGGGAGCCUUUCACUUUGUUCAUUUGUGGGAUAGACAACAUCUCAGUGGGUGGUUUUUGGCUGACAUGAUGCACCAGGUGCAGGCAAUAAUUUUUCCUUUCUGGGCAGCUCGUGAGGCCAACAUUAAGUACCCGUAGCAGUAUUUAAUUGGAAGGCCUUGCAGGCAAGCCUAUGCUGUCACGUCUUUAAGGUGCAUGAGAUUACAAGAUCCCUCAUGUGGUGAUUAAGCGGCAUGUCUGAGUCUCCAUUUUAUUUUCCUACUUCCUUUUUAGCUAUUGAGAUUUGGUUGUUCACGUUUGUUUUCCCCCUCGCUUUCUUACUGCAUAUAGAAGCUAGGAUGGGUUGUUUUAAAUAUUCCUUAUCAAACCGUUGAAACAUGACUUCAUGCUGGUUGAUGGUAAAUUUUCUAUCCUAUAUGUAUUCAGAUCAGAGGGAAUUUGUUAAUCUUUCGGAUUUUGAUAAGAACUAAAUAUAAGAAAGAUUUGGAUGCUAGGUAUAUAAAUAUUUGGGUUAAUUUCUUCAAUCCCUUCCUUAAAGAUUGUAAUUUCAUAAAGACUCCUUCAAAUUGUAAAGGGUUUAGGGUUGCAUGCAUACAUCUCUCUCUUUUGCAUCUGAUCGACAUCAAGUUUCUAUAUUUAUAUUGGGUUUCUUUGCAUUUUAAAGUUAUACAAAAUUGUUGCAGGGCAUGCAAUCAAAACGGUUGCUCAAUCAAUAGCUUCACUUGAGCCCUAUUAUGUUAUUUGAUAAAGUUUUGGGAUUUAUUUGUUAAAAAGUAGAAGUUUUAGCACCUGUUUGCAAAAGUGUUAGAGUUUAGGGAGGCUUUGUACAUUGUUUCAAUUAUUAAUGUUUACUAAAAAAUGUAUGUUGGGCGCAAACAUUGCAUCCUUUUGGGCUAUUUAGAGAGGCAAAAUACUGUGAGCCCUCAAUUACGGAUGUAUGGGUAUGCCUUCGAGGCGAUACGAGCUAGAGAGCCUAUGUUGGGGGAAAAACAAAGUACUGGGCGUGCUCCCUUCUUGCUGCAAGCUCCUCUGUCUCUUCACUCCCACACUGAGAAACCAAACACCCCCUUAGAGAAUCUGGUAUUGGCGGGGCAGCAUUGGAUGGUUUGCUGUUUGUAGGCUACUGAGCUGCAGCCAUUAUUCCAGAAUUGGUGCGGCAACGGCAGCGGUGGCGAUCAUUUUGUGGCCAUCAUUUAUAAUGAUGAUGAUUAUCAUCAUAAUCUUUAAAGGCGCUUCGACUUCAUGUGAGGAUGCCUCCGUUGUCGACGGCAUUGGAUCAUCAUCUUUUUGACACCUCUCAUAUAUUUUGAUCCUGGCUGAAGUAACUAUCAUCAUUUUUCUUGUACUUAGCCAUUCUUUGCUUGAUGCCAUUUUGUUGUUAUUGUUAUUAUUAUUAUUAUUGUUAUUGUUAUUGUCGUAGUGGUGGUGGUCGUGCAGGUGGGUGGAGUCUGCUCUCUCUCUGCCCCCUGUGAAAAGGGAAACCCACAGAACUUCGUUCUGUGGGGUUGACCAAGCCUUCUCUCUCUCUCUCUCUCUCUCUCUCUCUCUCUCUCUCUCUCUAUAUAUAUAUAUAUAUAUAUAUAUAUAUAUAUAUAUAUUGAGUUCGGCUAUGGUGCUUUUAAAAGCACCAAGCACUUGGUCCUUGUAAGUUUUUGUAAGUUUCCCAUUGUUAGAUUUAUCUCUUUGACCAAUUCCACCCCUAAGAUUAUACUAUUCGACCAACUACCCGCUCAAAUCUUGGGGACAACUAUUAUCCUAACCCUACAAAUCUUCAUCCUAGGCCGAAAACCUACAAGCACCAAUGACUUGGCACUUUUAAAAGCAUAGGAGCUCAAUUCUAUCUAUCUAUCUAUCUAUCUAUCUAUCUAUCUAUAGACAUAUAUGUAUAUAUAUACAGUUUGUGUGUGGGGAAUAUAAGGGGAAAAAAAACAACAAUCAUGCCACAUGAGGCAUUAAGUUUUCAGCGGUUGGUGCAUGGCAUGGUAAUAUUGGAAGGCUUUGCUUCUCUGCAGGCAACUAUUUUUUCAUGUGAUGUCUUGCUUAGACUUGCUGAAAUUAUUGAGAACAAGCUUAUUAAAGCUUUCGAUGAGUCUCUUUCCACGUCAACAACCACAACACUGUCACAUUACUGUUGCAUUAGUGGGACAUUACCGAAAGUAAGUUGGCCUAUGAAACUUGAUUGCAACAAUCAAAAAAGUUUGAGCUAGAAAUUGCAGCUAUUAUGGUUUGAGGACCAAAAGUGUAAUUUAGCCUUAUUUUAUAUAACAAACGACUGGGCAAGCAAUAAUUUUCCAAUCUCGGCACCUAUAACUGCACUCAAUUGGAAGGCCUGCUAUUUUGCAGGCAACCUUGUUAUGUCGGUUGUCUUCAAGGUGCAUAAGACUAUAUGAUGCCUCUUGAUAUGAUCGAAUGGCCAGUCGGAGCCUCUCUAUCCUUCUACUUCCUUUUCAUCUAGUAAUAUUUCUCAUGCUGACUGUCGAUGUUCUCAUGCUGACUGUAUGCUUCAAUUAGACAGGCCCUUAAUGCUUCAUGCAAAUGUUAAGGAAGCGUCUCUCCUUUAUGUUACGUUUCGAAGGAUGUUGUGAUGAUUGGCGGUUGCGAAGGCACCUCAACUUGUUUUUUUCUUGGCUUUUGAUUCUUAGAGCGUGUUUGGUUCACUUCUUUUUCACUCUGGAAUCGAAAUCGGAAUGGGUGAAUCUGUUUGUGGGUGUUUGGUAUGCGGGAGUUCCAUUCCCAUUCCUAUUCCCGAGUGGGAUGGGAAUCCCCUAAUCAUCUCUUUUUCCAAUCCGGUCUAGUAGGCCGGAUUGACAGUUGAAUCCAGACGGAAUGGAUAUUUAUUCGGAUUAAAUUAAUUUUUUCAACUUUUUUAAAUUAAAAUAUGAGUUUAAAUUUAGAAAUUAAAUUUAUAAUUUUAAAUUUUAAUUUGAAUUUGAAUUAAAAAUUAAAAUUUAAUCAAUUAUUUUGAAUCUAACUUAUAAAUUUGAAUUUAAAUUAAAUUUUAAUUUAUAUAAAGUUUUAUUCAAAUUUUAUUUAAAACUUAAAUUAAAUUUAUGGAUUCAAAUUAAAAUUAAAAUUGUAAUUUUAAGUUUGAAUUUGAAUAAAUCGAAAUUUAGUUUUAUAUUUUGAAUUAUCCACUCAACUUCAAAGUUUAAUUUUUUAAAAAAAAAUAGAUUUAAAAUUUUGACAUUAUUUCAAAAUUUUGAUGUAAAUUUUUAAUAUUUAAUUUUCAGUUUGAAUUUAAAUUAAUAUAUUAUAAAGAUAAAGUUAGUAUAUUAAUUUGAUUACGUUUUUUAUAUCUAUCUGAACAAAACACCGACAAUGGGAAUGAUUUAUUCCGAUUCCGAUUCAGGUAAUGAAUCAAACAGAAUUAGGUAAUGAGUCAUUCCAAUUCUGAUUUCAGCUUAUUUCGAUUCCGAUUCUGAUUCCGAUUCCAACUUCGAACCAAACGCGCCCUUAAUGGAGUGCAGAAGCUGAUCGAAAUACUGGAUAUAAGAGGUAGUAUGGUCAACCCUAAAAACUGCACUUUUGCAUUAAAAAAAAUCCCUUUCAUGAAUAACUGUAGAAACGGAUGGUCUGCACUUUUGCAGGCAACCUAGCAGUUACAUGCUGUUUUUUGUGGUUUGUACUUUUAAGCUGUUUCUUUGCGACAUCAUUUGCCUAGUGAUCAAGCAAUGCCAAAUACAUCGUAUAUUAGACAUUAAAAUUGUUGAUUUCUGGACAACUUGACUACUUAGCAAAUGAUAUCAAAGAAUGAUGAAGUUUGAAACCUAGAAAGUUGAAAUAUCCUAGAUCAUGUUUGACGGUGCUGAUGGUCUAUCCAGAUGCCCCAUUAUCGGAAAUGACACGGAAGUGAGCUGUACUUGUAGAAGUAUUCUAGCCUCUCCUUUUCUCUCUCUCUCGAUCUCGAUUUUCUAGGUUGAAAUAUAGAGCAAAAAGUUGGUGGUGGCACUAUUAUGGAUCAAUAAGGUCUAAGGUUCACUUCUUGAAGAUCCCCCUGCUCCCCCCCCCCCCCUUCAAAAAUAAACAAAAAAAAAACACACACACACACACACACACACACACACACACACAAAAAGGAAAAAAAAAAAACUCAAAAUGCAGUUCCUCGUGGAAACUGGCUCCUGCUCGGCAUGCUAUCUUGAACGGCUAGCUCCGAUGCAGACAACCAAUAUUUGCAUCUAUACAGGGGAUUUUAAUCCUCAGUUUGCUAUUUUGAAGCAACAAGUGUCGGAUUGUACGUUAUCUGAAUGUACAUGUUCUUUGAGGAAUGGCUAUGAUGACUGCCUGGAUGCACCAGAACUGAAGCAUUUGACUGAAACGUAGCUUGGCAAUCUUUGGAAGGCUUGCAAUUCUGUGAGCAACCAUUAUGCAGCUGUUUGUGUAGUUCUGUGAAGAUUCUGAUGAAAAGGCCAGAUCUGAGCCACCUCCCUUCUCAGCAUCAUCUUCGUUAAAUUAUGAAAAGCUUUCUUGUACUUUAUCCUCUGUCACAAUUAUCUAACUGCUCGAGAAAGAUGGACUGUAGACAACCGUCCGCUUGUAGACAUCUUUGACUCUAUGGUAAACAGUUGCGACAUGUUUGUUGGGUAAAUGAAAGAAAUAUGUUGAACAAGAUGGUUGUGUGUCGAAAGAAAUGAUCUGUGCUGCUGUUUAAAGCUGCAUUCUUAUGUCUUUCCAUGUGGCAGCUGUGAUGAUUGCCAAGUAUGGAAGCAUCAAAACCCUUGAACAUUAGACUACACUUUGAUCUGCACAGCGUGGCAACUUUUGGACGGCUUGUUUAGCAAGCAUCCAUUUUGCGUUUGUAUGUGUAGUUCGCAAAUGCUCAUAAAAAUGGGGUGAAAAUGUGCAGAACUUAUCUGAACUAUGGACCAUUUCGAGAAAGGCAGAUUGUAGACAACCGUCCGCAUGUUUGUUGUGUAGACAUCUUAGACUCUAUGGUUAACAAUUGCGGCAUAUUUGUUGGGUAAAUAAAAGAAAUAUGUUGAUGGUCAUGUGUCAAUAGAGGCUCUAAAUUUGCACUUUUGUUCUGCGCCACAAAUGAGCUGUGCUGCUGUUGAAAGAUGCAUUGUUACCUCUUUCUAUGUGGUGGCUGUGAUGAUUGCCAUGUAUGGAUGCACCAAAUCCCUACAACAUUUGACUAAACUUUGAUCCGCACAGCUCGGCAACCUUAGGAAGGCUUAUUUUGCAAGCAUCCAUUUUGCUUUGUAUGUGUAGGUUUGCGAAUGCACACAAAAAUGGCAGAUCUGAGCCACAGCGUCUAAAUAUCUCCUUUUCCUUGUUUAGAACUAACAAUUUUUUACCCCUUGCUUGCUCUUGUUUAAAGAACUUCUGUUUGCUAAAUCGCCUCUUGCAACAAGGUGGUUAGUUGAUAAGAGGAAAAAUGUUCCUUUAUGACAAUAUAUGUUUUUGAAGUUUAGUGGUGAUAAUUACACCGCAGUUGGAGGGGGUUUGGCAUAUUUUUGUCUUUAAAUAUGGCCCGCAGGUAGUGUAGUUUUAACAGAGCAUUAGACCUGCCUGGCAGGAACAUUGGAUGGCCUGCUUAUAUGCUGGCAACCAAUUUUUGAUGCUGUAAGCUGGAGUUUGUACCGAGGUUCGUAUUAUUAGCGUUGAGCAUCGCGAUGUAACUUUUUGUAGUUGUACAGAGCCGAAGAAUUGCUCUUUUGCAUCCUUCUUCCUUAGUGGGUAAUCAAAAUUUCCACAAAAUUGGAACUUCAAAUCUCACUUCUUUCAAGUUUAUCCCCAAACCGGUUUUCUAUAAAAAUAAACUGAACAUGCGACUUCGGCAAUGCUGAGGACUCAUAGGGGUGACACGGUCGAAUACGGUCGGAUUUUUGAUGAAACCAUAUCCGUAUCCAUUUCGUAGGCUAAUUCGGGUAUGAUGAUGUUGGAUUCGAUCGGAUUUUAUCCUAACCAUUUUCACCCCUACUUGUGGUACAUUUAUUCAGAGGAAAAAUACUCUUGAGCCCUCCAAUGAGGGAUGGACGGAUGGAUGGACGGACGGGUACAUCGCUAAGGCGAUACGAAAGAGAGAACCCUGCGUUGGGGACAAGCAGAAAUGCAGGGAUGCUCCCUUCUUCCUGUAAGUCCCUCUGUCUCCUACUCUCUUCCACCCCAAAAAAAGGAAAAAAAAAAAAGAAAGAAAGAAGAAAGUCAUUUGUCUCGUUUCCCAUCUCUUCCUUUCCUCAAGUGUUUUUAGGUUAGACAGGGAAUGUGGUAAUGGCGGGGCAGUUCUGGACGGUCUGCUCUUCUGCAGGCUACUGAGCUGCAGCCAUUACUCCGGAAAUACAUUGGCGGGAGUGACGGUGGUCAUUCAUAAUGAUGAUGAUGAUGAUGAUGAUGAUGAUGAUGAUGAGGAUUAUAACCUUUGAAGGUGCUUCAGCUUUGUCUGAGGAUGCUUCCGGUGUCAAUGGCACUGGAUCAUGUUCCUCUUGAUACCUCACCUAUCUUCUUGAUACCUCACCUUUUUCUUGAUCCUCAUUAAAGCAGCUAUCAUUUCCUCCUACUUCCUUUCUUGAUGCCCUAUUGUUGUUGUUGUUGUUGUUGUUGUUGUUGUUGUUGUUAUCAUUAUUAUUAUUAUUAUUAUUAUUGUGGUGGUGGUGGUGGUGGGGGUGGAUGGAGUCUACCAUCUCCCUGCCCCUUCGUAAAAAGGGAAGCUUUCGUUUCUCGGGGUUGACCGAGCCCACACAUAUAUAUGUGUGUGUGCGCGCGUGCGCUUUUAGAAGCAUAUACUUUGAACUUUUGGACCCUUGGAUCCCUAUGGUUUACUAGCUAGUGAUGGUUAAAGUACGGAUCCAAGGGCUCAAAAGUUUAAGUUGUAACUUCUCAAAGCAGCAUAAGCUCUAUUCUAUAUAUAUACACACACACACACUGUUGGUGUUUGAGGGUUGGAAAAAAAAAAAACAACAGGAACAAUUCUAGAUGAGGGCUAAAGUUUCAGCAGAAGGUGGAUAGCAUGGUUAUCUUGGAAGGCUCUGCUGUUCUGCAGGCAAGCAUUAUUCUAUGUGAUGUCUUGCGAUGUACGAGAAGAGAUAUCUAUUCCUUUUUCUCAUGCAAUACUCUGUUUGGUGCCAAAUCAUUAUAGAAUUGAAUAUAUUUGCAAUUCCAUGAGGGCAUUUGUAUUGCAGAAAAUGCAAACUAUGGCAAAUCUGACCACAAACCAGUGGAUUUGCUUUAUCGGAAAUAAAUUUAAAGUACACCUGCUAAUGUCUACAAGGAUGAACCAGUUCUUCUUGGCAAUUUCAUCCAAAUCAGUGAUUUGGAGGAUUCCAAACAGGGAAUGAACAAGGCUUCGAUGAUUGCCAAUCUGGUUGCCCACAGUUUGCCCUUGCCGUUUCUUCUUUACCAUUGUACAGUGUAAACAUCUCUUAUAAUAUCAGUUGUUCCGUAAAUUGGAUGGUCUGCUAAUUUAGCAGGCAACCUUUGAAGCUUUUGAUGAGUCUCUUGCCAUGUUAUCAAUCACAGUACUUCUACAUCACUCCCUUAUCAGUGAUACAUCAUUUAUUCUACUAAAUUGGACUAUGGAACAUGUUGCAACAAUCAAGAAAUGUUGAUUCAGAAGUUGCAACAAAUUAAAGUUUAAGGACUAAAGUGUCAUCCGCCUUAUUGUUUGAGGACCAAACGUGUAAUUUAGCCUUAUAUUAACUUACAAAGCACCCAGGAUAAAAAGAAAGUACUGGAUUUUUUUUUUCCCCCUAGAGAAGCUUUCAAUGGCUUGCGAUGCAUCUGCUGUAUGCAAUAAUUUUCCUAUCUCAGCUGCUCACUAGGGCAGCCUUGCGGGGUAGCUGUAGCAGCACUCAAUUGGAGGGUCUGCUGUUUUGCAGGAAACCUUGUUCUAUCAUAUGUCUUUAAGGUACACAAGGUUACAUAAUGCCUGAUCGAAUGGCAAGUCGGAGCCUCUCUUUCCUUCUACUAUCUUUUCAACUAUCAAUAUUCUCAUGCUGACUGUAUGAAUGUCCUCAUGUUGACUGUAUGUUUCAAUCAGACAGGCCCUUAAUGUUUCAUGCUAUGCUAAAGAAGUGUUUCUCCUUCAUUUUAGUUGUCAAUGGAGGCUGUGAUGAUUGCCGGCUGGGGAUGCACCUCAGCUUCUUUUAUCCUUGCUUUUGACUCUUGGCGGAGUAAAGAAGCUGAUCGAAAUACUGGAUAUGAGAGGCAAUAUAGUCAGCUCAAACCAAACAUGUUUGUUGGAUUUUGACAAUUCUGGUGGGAUUUGAGUCUGGUUUGUUGGUUUUCUUGGUCCUUUUACGCUCCUUGACAGCCCUUUGCUUCGUUCCUUUGGGUGGUCUUGGGUGACAUGAUUCACCGGGUGCAGACAAUAAUUUUUCCUUUCUAAGCAGCUAUAAGGCCAACAUCAGCUACCUGUAGCAGUACUUAAAUUGGAAGGUCUGCGGUCUUGUAGGUAACAUUAUGCUGUUACGUCUUCAAGGUGCAUAAGAUUGCAGGACCCCUCAUAAGAUAUGAUUAAAUGGCAUAUCUGAGCCUCCAUUUUCUUCUCCUAAUUCAUUUUUUGCUAUUCAGUGGUACACUCUUCCCUCACCACCCCCCCCCCCCCCCCCNNNNNNNNNNNNNNNNNNNNCCCCCCCCCCCCCCCCCCCCCCCCCCCCCCCCCCCCCCCCCCCCCCCCCCCCCCCCCCCCCCCCCCCCCCCCCCCCCCCCCCCCCCCCCCCCCCCCCCCGCUCCUCUGGCUUUCUUGCUGCAUGUAGAAUCUAGGAUGGGUUGUUUCAUAUUUUCCUUAUCAACUUCCUGGAACCCUGCGUAAUGCUGGUUGAUGACAACUGGAUAGUUGUUCGGGGGUCUAUUUCAAAAUGGCCUAUAGUUGUGGGGAUCAUCAUACUAUUUAUCCUUCUCAAUAUAUUUGAGGGUUAUCCCAAUAUUGUGACUUAGUCCUCGAACCUAUUCCGUAAACACUUGUCCCUUAUCUUUCACAUAUUCUUGCAGUUCAUCCCUGGCCAUCACUUUGGUCCAUAUGUUCCAGGCAAGAUCUCUCAUUAGCACGCUUCAGUGUAAUUUAAUCACUAGAGGAUUGGCGCGUGAGUCGUAAUUGGGGGCAAGAAGAAGUACAGGGCAUGCUCCCUCCUUUGUAUAAGCCCCGCUGUCUACUUUCUCUUGCACCACAAAAAGCAGAAGAAAAAAAGAAAACAUUUUAAUGUUGAUAUGGGAUGGUGAUAAUAGUUUAAGAAGCUUCGGCUUCAUUUGAGGAUGCCUCCUAUGUUGAUGGCGUCAGAUUGCCAUCUUCUUGAUUCCUCUCAUAUUUCUAGAUUCUAGCUAAAGCAACUAUUAUCUUUUUUUUUAAUUACAUCUCCAUUUCUCUUCUUGAUGUCUUAUUUUUUUCUUCUUCUUCUUCUUGUUAAUUGCUGCUGUUAUUGUUAAUUUUACUAUAGUGGUGGUGGUGGUGGGUGGAGUCUAUCGUCUCCCCAUCCCCUCCCGAAAGGGAAAACCCAAAAAACUUCGCUUUUCGGUUUUGACCAAGCCUUCAUUCUUGGUUUUGGCUGUAUAUAUAUAGAGAGAGAGAGAGUUUGCGAUUAACUAUUUAACCCUUGGAUUUCAGCAGUAGGUGCAUGGCAUGGAAAUCUUGGAAGGCACUACUCUUCUACAGGCAACCAUUUUUCCAUGUGAGGCCUUGAAUGUACCAGAAGAUAUAUCUACUCCUUUUCUAAUGUAAUACUCUGUUUGGCACCAAAUCGUUGUAGAAGUGAGUAUAUUUGCAAUCCUGUGAGGGCAUUUUUGGAGCAAAAAUGCAAAUUAUGGUAGAUCCGACCACAAACCAGUGGAUCUGCCUAGAAUUGCUGAAAUCAUUUGAAACCAUUGAAAAUCAAUUCAAUCCACACCUGCUAAUGUUUCCAAGGAUUAACGAGUUCUUGUUUGCAAUUUCGUUCAAAUCAGUGAUUCAAAGGAUUCUAAACAGGGUGCAAAGGAGGCUGUGAUGGUUGCCAACCUGGGUGCCAACGGUUUGUCCAAGCCAUUUCUUCUUUGCUGAGUGUACAAAAUAAACAGCUCUUUUAGUAUCAGUUCUCCUUUGGUAAAUUGGAAGGUCUGCUAAUUUAGCAGGCAACCUUUACCACCAUAUAUUAUAAUGGUGCAAGAAUUAUAUGAUGCCUUUUGAAUAAAGUGGGGGAAAUGGUUGAGAACAGACUAAUUGAAGCUUUAGGUGGGUCUCUUGUGAUGUCAUCGACAACAAUACUGCCACAUUACUGCUACAUAUGUGAGACAUCACCAUCCACUCAACUAAAUUGGCUUGUGAGAUUUGAUUGCAACAGUCAAGGAAGUUCGAGACAGAAAAUUGUAGCAAUUAUAGUUUGAGGGCCAAAGUGUCACCCGCCUCAUAGUUUGAGAACCAAAAGUGUAAUUUAGCCUUUAUUUUAGCUAACAAACCACUGAGGGUGAAAAGACAGCGUUUUCUAGGAACUGGCUCCUGUGAUGCACCAGGUGCAGGCAAUAAUUUUCCUCUCUAUGCUAUGUGUGGCAGCACUCAAUUGGAAGGUCUGCUGUUUUGCAGGCAACCUUGUUCUGUCCUUUGUCUUUAAGGUGCAUAAGACUACAUGAUGCCUCUUGAAAUGUUCGAAUAGCAGGUCAGAGCCUCCCUUUCUUGCUUUCUUUUCAGCUAAAAUGUAUAUCGUGCUGACCGUCCAUAUGUCCUCGUGCUGGCUGAAUGCUUCAAUUGGACAGACCCUUAAUGUCUUGUGCAAUGGUAAGGAAAUAUUUCUCCUUCAUUUUACUUGCCAAAGAAUGCUGUGAUGAUUGCCAAUUGGGAAGGCACGUCAACUUAUUUUAUCAUGCCUUUUGACUCUCGGCAGAGCACAAAAGCUGAUUGAAAUACUAGAUUUAAGAGGCAAUAUAGUCAGGUCAAACCAAAGAUCUUGAUUGGGUUUUGAUAAUUCGAGUGGCAUCUGAAUCUUGUUUGUUGGUUAGCUUGGUGCUUCUACACCCCUUGAGUGCCCGUCACACACUUGUAUGCUGAUUCAGAUGUGGAUAUCCAAGCAUACAUCUCUCUUUCUCUCUCUCUCUUUGUCACGCCCCAGUUUCUUGGAGCGCCACCCAUUCUAGAACUACUCUAGCCGUAGGUUUGCUCAACCCUCUUAACCUUUUGGGCUUAGCCGCUGCUCAAAAUGGUAUUGCUAGGUUAAGAGGUUUAUCUCUAUAAUACCUUAUAUAUAGGACUUCCAAAUCCUAGGGGUGUCACAUUCUCCUCUCGGUUACCUGCUUCCCUCUUUUAGGCUCUGACGUCCUCUCAGGUUCAAACACACUCACAAGCACCGCCGAUGUGAGACUCGUCUUCCUAGCCUUAGAUAACCUUGUGGGGAGCCGCGCUCCACCCACAAUGGCCGUCAGUCGGAGAGCCGUGCUUUUGCCCGUUUUAUGACCCUGGCUCAGCCAAGGAUCAUCUCACACUUAUGGUUGGUGAUUGGCUUUGAUACCAACUGACGCCUCGCUUCCCAGAGGGGUCAUCCAUCCAAGAACUACUCUAGCCUUAGGCUUGCUCAAUCCUCUUAAUCUCUUAGGCCUAGUCACUGCUCAAAAUGCUAUAGCCGGGUUAAGAGGUUUAGCCCUACUAUAUCUUAUAUAUAAAACUAUUCCAAAUCCCGGGAGUCUCCCUCCCCCUCUCCCCCUCCCACCCCCCCCUCCUGAUUGUCUCAUGCCCUAAUGACCAUUUAUAGUCAUAAUCUAUUUCAAGUAAUUUUGGAUUCGAUCAAAUAUCAUAUUUCUAUUUGUUAUAUAAAAUUAUGUGCAAGGCAUGUGAUCAAAACAGUAGCUCAAUUAGUAACUUCACCUGAACAGAGGGGUUCACUAAACUAUUUGAUAAAGUUUUUGCGGUUUUGUUGCCAAAAAGUAAAAGUUUAGGCUCCUGUUUGCAAAAGUGUUAAAGUGCAGAGUACUAAUUUUUGAUGUUUAUAUAUCUAAAAUCAUUUUCUUAAAAUGUAACUGGAAAUUGCCAAGCAGCUCUGGACUGUCUGCUCUUCUGCAGGCUACAGAGCUGCAGCCAUUAUUCCAGAAAUGUUGUGGCGGCGGCGGCUGCAGCUGCAGUUGGUGAUCAUUCAUAAUGAAGAUGAGGAUGAUGAUUAUAACCUUUAAAGAGGCUUCUACCGCAUCUAAAGAGGCCUCCUAUGUCGAUGGCAUCUGAUUGUCAUAUUCUGAUACGGUGAUACCUCUCGUAUUUCUCAAUCCUCGCUUAACUAUCAUCAAUUUUUUUUUCUACUUCUCCAUUUCUCUUCAUGAUGACUUGUUGUUGUUGCUGCAGCUGAUGGUGUUCUUGUUAUUGUUGCUGUUGUUAUUAUUAUUGUUAUUGAGGUCGUGGGGUUGGAGGUGGGUGGAGUCUGAAUGUCUCCCCGCCCCUUCCUGAAAGCCGAAACUUAGAAAACUUCGCUUUGCUGGGUUGACUAAGCCUUCAUUCUUGGUUCUGGUUAUAUAUAUCUAUAUAUAUAUAGAUAUAGAUAUAGAUAUAUAGAAACAGCUUGUAUUUGGGGGACAAAAAGGACAAAACAAACAGCAAUGAAACCAAAUGAGGCGUUAAGUUUACAGUAGUAGUUGCAUGGCAUGGUAAUUUGGAAGGCUCUGCUUUUCCGCAAGCAAUCAUUUUUCCAUGUCUUUUCUUUUUUAUACUUGGUGAAAUGGUUGAGAACAAACUGAUUGAAGCUUUUGGUUGUCUCUUGCGAUGUCAUCAACCACAAUGCUGCCACAUUACUGCUAUAUUAAUGAGACAUCACCAUUCACUUAACCAAAUUGGCCUGUGAGACUUGAUCGCAACAAUCAAGAAAGUACGAGCUACAAAUUGCGGCUAUUAUUGUUUGGGGACCAAAGUGUCACCUGCCUCAUAGUUUGAGGACCAAAAGUGUAAUUUAGCUUUAUUUUAUCUAUCAACCCUUGGAACAGGCAUUAAUUUUCCUAUCUCAGCACUCUGUUGGAAGGUCUGCUGUUUUGCAGGCAACCUUGUUCUGUCAUUUGUGAUGCCUCUUGAUGUGAACGAAUGGCAGGUCGGAGCCUCUCUGUCCUUCUACUUUCUUUUCACUGUUGAUAUUUCUCAUGCUGACCGUCCAUAUGUCCUCAAUCCUCUUGCUGACUGUAUGCUUCAACCGGAAGGCCCUUACUGUUUCAUGCAAUAUUAAGGAAGUGUUUUUCCUUCGUUGUACUUGUCAAAGGAGGCUGUGAUGAUUGCCACUUGGGAAUGCACCUCAACUUCUUUAAUCCUUGCUUUGGAUUCUCGGCGUAGUGUAGAAGCUGACCAAAAUACUGGGUAUAAGAGGCAAUAUAGUCAACUCAAACCUGAGACCUUGGUUGGGUUUUGACAGUUCGGGUGGGAUUUGAAUCUUUUUUUCUUUUUUUUUUUAAUUUUAUAUUUUAGUCCUUUUACACCCCUUGAGAGGCCUUUACGUGGUUCAUUUGUGGGAUAGACAGCAUCUCAGUGGAUGGCUUUUGGCUGACAUGAUCACCUGGUGUAGGCUAUAAUUUUUCCUUUCUCAGCAGCUCAUAUAACCAACAUUAAGUACCUGUAGCAGGACUUAAAUUGGAAGGUCUACUGUCUUGGAUGCAACAUUUUGCUGUCGUGUCUUUAAGGUGCAGAAGAUUGCAAGAUCCCUUGCGAGAUGAUUAAGUGGCAAAUCUGAGCCUCCAUUUUCUUCUCCUACUUUCUUUUAGCUAUUAGGAUUUGGUGGUACAUUAUUUAUUUUUCCCAUUUUUUCUUUUCCUCCUCUGGCCUUCUUACUGCAUGUAGAACCUAGGUGGGUUGUUUUCAAAUAUUCCUUAUCUACUACCUGAAAUGUGACACUCUACUUCAUGCUGGUUGAUGCUAAAUCAUUUAUCCUGUAUGUCUUCAGAUUUAGGCAACUUGUUAGUCUUUUAGAUUUUGAAAAGAACUAAAAACAGAUAAAGAUUCGGAUGUUUGGCAUGUAUAUCUGUAUAUUUGCAUGCUGAUUCAAAUGUGGGUAUCCAGCAUACUUGUAUAUCUACUUUUCCAUUUCUCUUCUUGAUGCCUUGUUGUUGUUGCUGCUGCUGC